CACUGCAACAGCUCGGUUUUCAUUCUAAAAAGCUCCUUUCAUUGCAACAAAAACGCAGCAGCUUUUCAUUCUCCCUUCGCUGAACUAAUGACAAACAAUAUCACCGCCUCACAUUGUUCAAAUAAUUUGCAACAUCACUUGCAUGAAUCUGUUUUUUAAGCUCAAGUUUACAUUAUUUAAAAUAGUGAAUAGCAUGAAAAAAGCAAGAUAGUAGCCCAAGUUUACACAAAUCUAUUGUUUUACCUUCCUUUCACAUUGAAUUCUGAGUCAAGGAGAAGAAAUCCAUUUCCCUCAGCAUUUCCAUCCUUAUCUCCAAGGCAUGACACCAGGAUAUCACCCGAAGCAAGGCAAUGAGCCGUGCGAGGAUAAGAUAAUCAUGGCUUCUGUACAAAAUUUGCAGGCUCAACAACUUUAUGCAAAGAGGGAGCCCUUGGAAUUUUUUUAUCUGUCAACUACGUAUAUACAACCAGAUCUGAAAGUAACAACGAUAAUUUAUUUAAAUUCUUUUUCUUUACAAAUCUUGAUGCAUUUAUAUAAAUCAAUUCGUUCAAAAUCCAAAGCUAAUAUCAAUACAACUCAAAAUCACGAUACCCUCAACAAUAACCAUUCAAAAUCCAAGUGGCCCAAAUGGGGUAGAGAGAGUGAUGAAACUGAGAUCGAGAGAUUGGGGGAGAUCGGAGCCGAGAGAGUGUGGCAAAACAGAUCCAGCGAGAAUGAGGCAGUACAGAGCUUAGAGCGAGAGAGAAUAGUGUCUAGAGAAUGAGGAAGCUGCUAGGUUUUUGUUGCAGUGAAAGGAACAAGGUUUUUUGUUGCAAUGAAAGGAGGCAAACGUGAGUGUGACGAGCUGGGAAGAGCAUGAGCGUGAGCGUGUGUGUUCUUGUGCACGUUUGAAGAGCGUUUUAAAACAAAACGCACCGUUUUGUGCAAACGUUUGUGCGCGAAUGUGUGAGAACAUCAUUUUCCUAUUUUUUACAUGUACUUUCAAAAAAAAACUUUACAUAUAUUAUUGGGGACUCGUGCUUCUGCUGACCCAUUGAAUAGAAAUCUUCACUUUUGAAAUUUUGAAAAAUAUGUUGCAUUACACUAUCAUGUGUUAUAAAGUAUGUGUUCAGUUUUCUUUAAUUAGUUGAACAAUUUGCAUACAAAUAGCAGCCAAUCAUUUUUAUAGAAAAUGUGUAUGCACUGAAAAUGAACUUUUAGCUAUAACAUACCUAAAAUCUGGCUUAAGAAAUUACAAGAAAAUACUAGUUUAGUUAUAAAAAAAAGAAUGAAAAAAAGGAAAUAUUUCUCAUCCGUACAAUUUAGAAGUUUCUUUUAUUUCUAUAUAUUUAUAUUUUUGCGGGUAAGAUCUUCCACUACUGAUUAGUGCUAGACUUUUUUUGGGGUUCAAUUGUUAUUAUUGCGACAUGGAAAUGGUAUCAUAUCUUGUAACCCAUUUGACUACAAUGGCAGAAAGAAUUACGGCAUAUAUGGUGCCAUUAAUCCAGCAUCUAGCCCCACCGAAAGAAGCUUCACAGUUCAAUACGGAAAUUUCUCAUUUUCCAUUGUGUAAUCAGUUAUAACUCUGGCCAAAUGAAAUGAAUUAAUCUUAUCCUCAAAUUAAUUCUAGUUUCAAGUAUUGAGUAUUCAGUUAAGUCAACCUACACAUAGUUUCUUUAGUACUUGCAUGGGGCCUUAUAGCUCUAAAUUCGUGGCAAUUAAUUUAUUUUCCCUAUCCCAUUUCCAAGUUCUGUGGGACAUAGAAUUUGGGAAGAUAAGCCCCUUAUCACCGACAAAUCUUUCCGGUUGGUUCUUUGAUUGAUCUUAGUUUCAAUUUGUUUCUGAAGAAUAAGAAAAAAUGGUCACCCAGCAAUAAUAGGCGAAAAUGAUUGAUUUCCUGAACUGUUGUACAUGGCUUGAACCCCACUAAAGACUUUUCAAAACUUGUUAGCCCUAACUUCAUCUCAAAGGGCACCGGAGUUUCAAAUUGUUAUGCAUUUUUAUAAAGUCUCUUUCGCUAUGUCUAUGCGAUCAUUGUAAAUUGUAUUGAAAAGGACUUCAGCAUUGUUGCCAAAUACAAAAUGCAAGAUUCAAACAGUUCCAAGUGGAAAAUUUGAACCCAAUGUUCAACAUGUUCAUUUUAAAUGCUAUGACAUUAUUACCAUCAACUUCUCGAAAUUGAAAAGAUAUGUCUAAAUAUCGGCUAAUAAUUCUCCCGUCUAUCUGUUCGCACAUUUUAAAAUAUGUAAAUUUGAUAUUGAACAACAUUGUUAAAUAAUUAAUUCUUUAAUGUUAUUAUUGCUAGGCAAUAUAGCGUAGUUUCAAAUAUAUCCUUAACUCAAAACAUGCACUUUCAAAUUGUGAACGGGAACAACAAAGCUCAACUUGAAACAGAACUAACUACACAUAACACCUUGUAAUUGUAAUGCUAAGUAAGCACCAUACUUUAUCUUUUAAUGAGAAGCAUUUACGGAAAAAAUAAAAUAAAAUAAACGAACCACAUGGAGUGUGUUAAACAGAUACAUUUUCACAUUAUAACACAAUGUGUAAAUAGUUUUUUGUUCAUAUUAACAUAUUAAUUUUCAUAUUCCUUUUCAAGUAUUUUCAUGUCCCGAAUAAACACUACAAGCAAAAGACAUAGAACCCCAUGAUAAUUCAAACCGCAUAUGAAAAAAUAAGUAGCCAAGUUCCAUUUGAAGUAAGGGAUGAUAAUGAGAAUGAGGUAAUUGGUUUCAAGUCGCUAUCAUUUAGUGCUUUCUUACGACUGUAAGAACGCUUGCUCGUGGCACCCAUUUGCAUGCUUUAUUUAUAUUUAUUUAUUCAUUUUCUCCUCAUCUUAAAUUCUUUAUUAGGGGAAAAAUGGAAACAAUUUAUAAAAAGUAGGCAAAUGAGGCACUAUUACCUAUUGCUUUGGCAUUGUUCAUGUUGACCUAUCAGCUUAUGUACCAGUGUAAAACCAUCUGUAUCUUGACAAUUAUUUGCACAAAAAAGGAACCCAAAUGAAAAUAAUUAUUAGUUGAUAUGCUUCUUGUCUUUGUUUGACUUUGGAUGCUUGUUUUAGAUUGCUCAAAUUUUGUCAACUCAUUGAUAUUAGGGUUUUGAGUGAUCUCCCCUUUCUCGAGGCUUCUCUCUCAUUCUUAGAAAGCAAAUUCGAAAAAAAUUUGCAAUUGCACUUUCUAACUUUCACCCCCCCCCCCUUCCUUUGUGGUCCAUGGAUUAAUUGCAAAUAUUCUAAUAAAGUUGACCACUGCAUGCAUCCUGUCAAAGGAAUUAAGCACCAGCAUAUGCAAUUACUAUAUGCCUGUUGUAGAUGUCGACUGAAAAUUUUCUGAAAUCAAGUCCAAUAUUAAUUCUACGUAUGAAGCCAUAAUGUAAUUAAUUGAAAAGCGAGGAAGUGAAAUGAAACAUAUAAACAUUUUGAGUUAGCGCAAAGUUCAAUCUCUAAAUACACUACUCAUAACUUUUAAGUCGGAUUUUUUUUUUCUCGUUUCAGAAAUAUUUAGUUCUUCGCUAAUAAUUAUGUUCUAUUGUUUAUGGGAUUUGAAUUCCUUAAUGAUUUGAUCUUAUACUUAGGUUCCAUUUAGUAUAAUUUUUCAAAUAGAGCUUAUUUAAGUAGAUUUUUUUUUAGUAGAGCUUUUACAAAUACAACUUUCACUAAAAAAAAAAAAUUAAUUGUUUGAUUGUCAAUUAGAGCUUUUAUUAGAAAAUUCGAAAAUUACUUUAAUAAGUAAGUUAUUUAAAGUCAAGUUAUGAAAGGAAUGAAAUAAGGUUAUGAAAUAAGUAAAGAAUAUUUUAGGCAUUUUAACAUUUAAAAAAAAAUCAACCUCUAUUUUCAAAAACCCAAAAUUUGAUCUUUUACUAGGUGAUGGAAAAUAACUUAUUUAAUCUUCAAAAGCUCUACUCAAAAACUGAUUAAACAGUAACAAAGAAAAUUAAAAAUAGUUUAUGGGAUUAAAUAAUCACUUAUAGUUAUUAGAUAAGUUGUACCAAAUAGAUAUUUAACAAAAUACAAUGCUUGUUAUCAGAUAAAAAGUAGAAGUAGUUGAUUUAGUUCGAAUUAGUAAAUAUAAUUCAAAUUCAAUUGUAUGAAUUUAUUAGCAAUAUGCAAGGUGAAAGGAUAAAUUAUCAGAUGAUCUUCUCUUGACUAUUGGUUGAAUGAAGGUAUAUCUCCUAGUUUCUCACUACUGAAAUUAAUAUAUAUAACUUAUUGCUAUUGCUUUUGUAAUAUCUAACAAUCUGCUAACACAAAAAUAAAUUAAGAGAAAAGAGGGACAAAUGAGUCAUUUUUUUAAUAUUUUAUCUUUAGAAUAUAAAUAAUAGGUAUUAUAAGAUAAAAAUAUUUAAAAAUAAAAAAAUAAAUAAUCAUAUUAUUAAUUUUUAUACACACUCAAAUCAAUAUUUUUUAUUUUUAGAAUUUAAAUCUCUUUGUUUUAAUUGUAAUUUAUACGAUUUAUUUAAUUUAUAAUCAAUAUGAAUUAAAAAUUUUUUAAAAAAUAAAGGUAAUACUGAAAAACUAUGGUGUUAGGAGGGUUAUUAGAUAUUAUGAAAAUAGUAAGGGAUAAGUAGUGUAUGCUGAUUUUUGUGGGAAAUUUUGAUAAUCUGUCUGUGAACAAAUUAGAUAAAGGUGAUGAAAUUGAUAGUUGUUAUUCUUAAUGUUUCUAUUAAUAAUAACAAAAGUUUUAUAUAUAUAUAUGCUAAAAAGUUUCUAUUUGAUACUCUGGUAGCCAGCAUAACUAAUAGAAAGCUUUUUUAAAACCAAGAUGCCUUACAAAAAAUUUUUAAGGUUAGCCCUGACAAAAGGCAUCACAUUCGAAAAUUUAGACAAAAGAGAACCUUUUCAUCCACUCUUAACUUAAGCUCAUUGUAUUUAAUAAUUAUAGGUAACCAUAUAACUAACGAAUCUAAAAAGAUCAAUUAAGGCCUCUGUUUAUGGUGGUGGCACGAAUCUUCUAAUAAUUUAUAACAGUAUGUUUUACUCAAAUUAAUGUUUAAAGAAUUCAGCAAAGUGUUUUGCCUCCUCUUCAGUGGAAAUUUUGGACAAAUCUUCUUAGUUAGAAGCUUCACAAUUAGGGGACUUAUAUUUUAAGAAUGCAUGUUUGGGCAAUUUAUGCAAAUGUCGGGAGAAAGAAAAAUUAUUUUUAUCAUUCUAUCGAGGUUGAGAAAAGAGGGGAAAGAAGGAGAAAAAGAAUAAUCUUUUUAUUAUCGAAUUAAUAAGAACAACUUAAGUAAUGAAAUAAAAAUGUGGGAAACAAAACUAUUAAUUAGAAGAUGUUAGCCCCACUUGUAGGGAUGAUAAAGACUAAAGUAGCACCAAGGGUUAUAUACUUUGUGUCCCAUGUAUCUUUGAUAAUUAAUGGCAAACAAGAUAUGCUUAUUUGCACAAACGAUGAGAUAAAUUGCGGCUACUUAGAUUAUUGACGUACAAUUUUUCAAAGGAACAUGUGGGCAACCUAAUGAGAACCUAUAGAAGAAUUGAUAGAAGAUUUCAAAGCCUUUACCUUACGAUCAUAAAUAGAGAAAGAUUUAGCAUAACAUAUUUAUAAUAAAGUGAUUGGAAAUGUAGCUAGGUUCCUUUAAGCCACUACAACCAUGAAAAGCUUGAAAGAAAAAUUAUAUGAGACUGGUCAAAAUAUUCUCGUUUCCAUCAAUCUUCACAUUGUUUCAUCUCGAAGCAACUUUCAUGGAGACUGAAGUUUGAUCCAAAGACGAUAACAAACAUUUCGAAUCUUUAAAAACAAUUUAAUUACUUUUUUUUUUUUUUUUUCAUCUUGGCUUCGGUCUCUCAGUUUAAAGGAGAGAUUAAGCAUUUCUCAAAGAAAGCAAUUAUACUAAUUGUUUGCAUCAUAAAUUUUCUAAGAUUUUGUAUACGGCAUGUAAAAUGUACUGUAUUUUAUUUUCUUUUAUCAUUUUGUGCCACAAGUAUAAUGGGGCGAAGUUUAAAUUAAUUUUUUCAACCGCCUACUUCCUUUAAGAUUCACACUCUUGAUCAGGUGGCCAGCCGAAAAACUAUUCAACUAGAUCUUUGAGUUUUUUUUUUUAUUAAUUAAUUACCAAGAUAUUUUUCUUUAUUAAUUAUCAAUAAGAUAUAUGUAUUUUCUAAUUGAAAUAAAGAUUGAUUACCUAGUAAUGAAUCCCUUAUUUUUACUAUAAGAUAAAAAAAAACACUUACUUCAAUAUAGUGUAUUUUGUUUUAUAAUAUAGUGAAUAAAGUGUGUAUUUUUCUUGUCUUUUAAUUGAUCCCUUAUUUUUAAUAACACAACAUAUCCCAUAUUAAAAAUUUACUCUUGAAAUAAAAGUUAAAAUCAAUAGAGAAUCGUGAUCUGAACGAAUUAGUUAGACAAACUUUUUACUUGGCUUGUUUAGUGCAAUUCUAUAGUUAAUGUAACUUUCAAUAUUAUCUAAGAAAUUAUUUACUUUCUUCACCAAAAUUAUUUAGAGCAGACCGGAAAAGGACCCCACUUGUUUUUGCAACAUAUUUAUAGCCACAUGAAUUUUAAAUUGUUUUUUUUUUUUCACAAGAGGGUGAGAAACAUCAACUUAAUUAGUGGAUUAUUUUUAAGGAAUAAUAUUUGUGCCAUCAUUUCAAACUAAUGAUGAUUAGUUCCAAAGAUACCUUAGAUUUGUUAAGAUUAAUGACUUCAAUGGAAUCGUCAAUGGUGACAACACUGAAUUUAAUCAUUGAUUAAGAACCUUUAGGUGCUUCUGAUUUGAUCACUCAUAAAAAAGUAAAUAAAUUUUUAAAUGUCAUCAUCUAAGAAUUUUCUUUUUCGUUUUCUUUAAAACCUUAACAUGUAUCAACGGAAAAACUGAAUCUCUUACCUUUUGAGCCGGUUUUGGACCUGUAUUAAUUCGAUACAUAUUGUAAAAGCUUAUCGGUUGAACCAACUAUAGUAAGUAAAAACUGCCUAUCUCUUUCAGAAAGAUAAGAAAAACCAAAACGUAAGUACAAGAAAUCUUUCUAUUGGAACUUCUAUAUAUAUAGCAACUAAAGCUUACAAUUAAGUCACAACCGAGAACGAUAACCCCGAAUUUGAAAGCAAUGGCUAAUGAUAAGGACGGCGCAACAAUAUUAACUACUUGUUAGCCAGUGCAUGUCUUCUUCAUACAUACACUCGAAACUCUACACAUAUAAUUAAUAAAUUAAUUAAUCAAUUAUACCCAGCAAUAUAUGGUAAGUACAUAAGACUUGCCAUAGCUUCUUGCAGCCACUCCUCAUCUUGUUUCAUCUGAAACACACAAGUAAAUUAUCAUCAUUAGAACAUGAACAUAAACUCAUACCCUUUUUGGUCUAUUUAAUCUUGAGAAAGAACAACAAUCAAUUUCCUAGUAAUUAUUUUUAAAUCCUUUUAAUCUAAUCUAAAGCAACUUAUUUGAGGAGAGUUGUUACCUGAACAUCAUCGUCAACACAGUAUGGAUUCUUGCCUUUGUGAGAAUUAUCAUCGUUCUUCAUCACCGUCUGAUCUUCUUCGCACAGCUCAUUAUUCCUCGCGAAUCUCCCACGGACACGUACCCGGCGGUCUGCUAGGGUUUUGCGACAUGCGUACUGUAUAAUAAAUAAUAGAUCACAAUGAAUUAUUAAGUAGAAAAAAAUAAUAAUAAUUGUUUGUGCGAAAAAAUAAAAAUAAAAACCUUGAUGGUCUUGUUAAAGUUCCUUUGAUUUUUCUUCUUCAAGUAUCUGAGAAUUCGAUCUUUCCUUUCUUCAACUGAAUACCGACCAACUUUUAUAACAUUAGCGUCUUCCAUUGAUGCCAUUUGAUUAUUUUGGAUUCCCUGCAUACAUACAUAUAAUAUAUAAUUAGUAAAAGAUUAUUCACAUAGCUUUAACUAAUUAAUUCCCAUGCAAAAAUCUUUUUUAUCAAUUUAAAAAAAACGUAAAAAUAAAAAACAAACAAAUUAGUUACCCAAUUUUCUCCGGUAGCUGGAUGCAUAGGCUUCAAAUCAUGCAUAAAAGCACAGCAGUCAUCUCCAAACUCACAGGCAGCGGAGGGAAGCUGGAAUCUGGCACCAUAGUUUUGAAUCUCAUUAGUCCCACACAUGGCCAUGCCGUUAUAUUCAGCCAAUGUAGGCACCAUUGAGUCGUAUAUUCCGAGUUGUUCAGCCGUAAAAGGAAUCAACGGAGAAGAGGAAACGACGUCGGAUUCCGGUGCCAGAAUAUUUUCAAAAGAGACUAUUGGAAAGUUCUCUUCAGUACCCCAUAUUGGACCAUUAUUACCACUUGAAACCGAACCACCACAGCUAGAAACUGAAUUGCCAGGGCACUCGCCAUAAUUAGUACUCUCUCCGGCAGCUGCCAUGGCUGCCGAUAUCGGAUACGGAAACUGGGAAAGCUCCGCACUUGAAAAUGAAUCAUCAGAGUAAAACUGGGGAAUUGAAGCCAUUGAAAAUAAAGAUAGAAACUGAAGGCAGCAGGGCUAGCCUAUAAAAAAUUUGUUCUUAUUGGUUUGUAUGUGACACUGAAACUUAAUGGCGAUGAAUAUUUAUAUUUAUAUAUAUAUAUAUGCAUGAAAGUGAUAGUAGUGGCGGUGGCUUUUGUUUUUGUUGCAACUUGUCCUGCCCGUACUGCCCAUGCAUGCUAAUUAACUGCCCACAUUUUUACUUGUUAAAUUUUAAGACAUAAUUAGCGAAACCAAUUACUUGACUGUUCAGUGAGUUGUGUUAUCUUAUCACCGAGAUGUAUUAAGCUGUAAACGCGUAAUUAUAUUUUAAUUGAGUUUGUUACACUUAAAAAAGUUUGUUGUUUUUUGUAAUUAACUAAAAUUAAGAGUGUGUAUAAAUUUGGUAUAUAGAGAAGUGUCAGUGUCACAGCUUGCGGAGAGCUUUUUUUGCUAAUUGUAUAACCAAAAGCAAGAUGUGAUGGUUUUCGUAGUAUUGAGCUGGCAAAUUAGAGCACUAAGUAAAAUUAAGUGGUUUUAUGGUCUAAUUAAUGAAAUUUUCUUUUCCCUUUUUUUCUUGUAGGUAAACUUUGAUGAAACUACACGUAGUCAGAGAAUAUAUAAGAUCAGCUCUUAUUCCUCAAAAAUAGUAGUAGAAAACUGUAUAUUAUAAUAAGAUAAUUAUUCAACCGCACUGAUGAAUUUUGAGAUUCAAUAAAUUCCUGAUUUAGAAUUAUGAUCACUUAAUUAUUGCGAUGAUAAGUUAGACUAUAACUUCAAUGGUAAAAGAAUUUGUACAUAUCUCUAUCAUUACUGUUUAUAAAUAUUUUAUCUCAUGUUAAAUUUUUUUCAACUUAUUUCGUAUGUCUAUAUGAGUUUUGCUGAGUUUUAUAAAAGAUUUUAUGUCUUAUGUACAUUUAUUAAUAGUCUACAAUUACAAUUUAAUUACAUGUAUCUUAUACAUUGCUAUCCAAUAACCGCCAAUCAUAGCCUUGUAUUUUGUUCAUCACAAGGUUAGGUUAGCAUGCAAGGCAAAUCAAACUUCAUGAAUUUGAAUAUAAAAAUAAUGGAAAUAGUAGUUGAUUAGUUUCUAUUAUAGCAUGGUUUCUUUUUUCAUUUCCCCCCUAUGUUUUGGUCUUUAUUGCUAGUAAAAUUGCGCACUAAUAAGGUAGUGACCAGGACUUGCGGUUUAUGCAUUUGAGUUUUGGUCUUUAUUUAGGCUCCGUUUGGUACAGCUUAUUAAAUAGAACUUAUAACAGUAGAGCUUAUAGCAGUAGAGCUUAUACCAAUAGAAUUUUUGGACAAAAAGUCAUUAGGUGUUUGGUUGUCAAUAAAAAAAGUAUUUUUGAACCAUUAAACUAUGUGAUAUUUUUUAUAUUAUAUAUAUUUAGAAAAGCUUUGUAACCUCUACUCCCAAAAGCUCAAAUUUUGGGCUUUUCCUAGUAGAGGUAAAUUAGCUUAUUUAAGCUAAAAAAACUCUACUAAAAAAAUAACCAAACACCAUAAAAAAUUUUAAAAAGUGCUUAUACGAUUAAAUAAACACUUAUAGCUCUUAAAUAAACCAUACCAAACAGGCUCUUAGACUUUCCUCAUUUCCAAAGGGACAUAUUUUUGAACAAGAACUUAUGCAGCUUCAAAAAGGAAAAGCUAAAGGUAAAAUAUAUAGAGGGCCUCAUGUGAUUAACUAUUCUAUACCGUUAAAAAGCUGUAGUACUGAAGAUCCAACCUACUCAUAGCCAAAGAAUCUAACACAUGCGUUUGUUUAGAUUUGCAUCAAAAUUCUAGUACAUCAUAUAUCCCCCAAAUUUCAAUUUCUUGAUCAACUUCCCCACCAAAAUUACUUUUUCAGCCAAUACCCACUACAGAGAAUAGCAGCAGCGCAGCUACAGUAAUUUGGAAUGAAUUUAUUGCCUGGAACAAAUCCCCCUUUUUUGAUUAGACAAGUGAUUCCGUAUUGGAAGCAGAUUUUUCACAGGACUUGUAGAUUAUGUGCUUGAGAUGUAAGGGCUCCUCUAGUGUUCUAUUCACUGGAAGUGUCAUGAAGACAUCAACAUUGACCAUCAAUUUAAAUGAUUCUCUAGAAGGACUUUGGUUUUUUUUUUUUUAAUUUUAUUUCAUGUUGCUUCGUUAUGGUUAAACGAUGUUUUCUCAUUAGUCUUUAGCCUCAACGAUUUAAAUGUAGAAAACUACAAGUUUUGGAUCAAAUUGCUAGAAUAAAUUUGUCACUAUAUUGAUUAGUGAAACCGAUUAUAGCGGUGAAGAAUGCUAUAUAUAUUGCGUGAUGUUUGGUGAAAGUAUUUUUGAACAGUUUAUCCAGCCAUUUAUUAUAACAAAUUGAUUGUAAAUUGUAAAGUUAUUUAUUUGCAGUGGAAUGAAAUUUAUGUUAAAAAAAAAAAGAAAAGCGAAACUCAAUCUAUUAGCUAAUAAAAAAGACACAAACCUUUAAUCUGGAAGUACUUUGAUCUAAUAUUAUAUGAAGCUGAUCCCUUUUUGUUAAAGCUUGAAAAUGUUAAUACUUUUUUAAGUUUGAAAAUGUUUAAGAAUAGGAAAAGCUCUCACAUGUUUUAUUGCUGUCGAAAACUUUUUGAAAAGAUAUGUUUUCUCAGUUUGAAUGGGUAUCUGGUUCAAGAUUUCUUAGGAGAAAAGGUAUAUAUACACAUUUUGUUCCAUCUUUUGUUAUCUUAAAAAGGAACCUUGGCUUUAAUGUUUUCAUUUUCCUCUUGUAAUCACUACAAUUACGGACAAAUGAAAGGGCAGCUUGGAGAGAAGAAAAAAGAAAAAGUUAUGUAUAAUUCUUAAGGAGGCUUGUGAGUGAAAUUUUAACUUUGCUGGAAAUUCCCCUGAAAAAGGUGGAAAAUAGAUAGAGAAAAUGGAAGAUUUUAUACACAGUAUCUGGUGCCUCUGAUCAAUGAUCAUAAUCCCUCUUCCUUUCCUAUCAACCAACUUACUAGCAGCAAUCCUGUGCCUCUAUUUUCUCCCACUUUUGAUGAAAAUUCUCAAGCAACUUGUUUAUUUUGUAGCUAAAUCCUAGAAGCUUAAGCUAUUAAGUGAGAGCCUUCGAGCAUGUCAGACAAGAUCCAAAUAAAUUUAGAUUUCAUAAGAUUUAGACAAAAAAUUUAACUUGAUAGUCAUGUUUAGUUAAACAAAUUACUUGAAAGCUUUAAACAAAUUACUUGGAAGGCUUAAACUGGUUGAUGAGAGCUAAAUAGAUUAGUACGAAUACUGAUGGUUUCCACAUUCAAAAGCCAGCUCUUAGGGAAUUAAAAUCUAUUGCUUCACAACUAAGUUACACACUUUUUCAGCUUAGUUGGGAAGACAAAUUCUUCUGCUUGUGAAAUCUUUAAAAGAGGUACUAGUGCGGUACAAUGCUCACACUCCUACUUUCAACUCAAUAACCUCUAGUUUUCGAAAAUUUUCAUUACCAACCUCUCAAGUUUUCAUUUUCAUCCCUCAACUUAUAAUUCAAUUUAUUAAAUACCCUACAGUAAAUCUUGACGUGUCAAUAACAAAAACUUGAGAAUUAAACGAAAAACUAAAGUUUUUAAUAAAAAGUGAAAAAUUAUACCAAACAGCAUUGUUUUGUAAAUAUAACUCUCUAACAGAUUAUUGAACAUCUACCCAUUCAUUCAAGUUUUUACCACAAUCGGUAACUUAACUUGAAACAAAAAGGGUGAGUCCCUGUAUGUUUAAAUUUUCCCGUCAUUAGGCAAGCUUGAUGUGCAUAAAAAAUCUCUUAACCUUUUGUGUUAAGCGAUAAUUCAACGUUCUUAUUUGUUGGUUACCAUGCUCAAUGACCUGACAUAAUUCCUUAUGAUCUUUUUAUCUUCAAGCUUGUCAAGUGGAUGAUAUUCAUAUACUGCAUGAUCCAACAAAGCCAUGAGGCGCAUGUUGCCCAAAAAUGAAUCUAAUCUGAUUUUUAAGCAAAAGAUCACUACGGAACCUUUCCUUUCUUCUUUUCUUUUAUCAUUUUCCAAUUGUUUGGCAUCCUAGCAAGUAUUCUUGUUCUAUUUCGUAAACUUUUUUUUUCUUUUUUACUUUUUUUUCCCCUAUCUGAACCAAAAAAACCCUGAGAUUCUUGUUCAAAGAUUGAUAUGUUUAGCUUUACCUCUACAGCUUUCACUUCAAUUUCUUGCAAACUGGUUUUCAUGCCCCCCCAUUUUUAGUGAAAGAGAAAUUGCUUUGCUUACCUUUCAAAGAUGCAAUAUGUAGCGGGUUAUCCAGUAUAAAUCACCUGAACAAAAAUAUCUUCUACUUUAUCAGUGUUAAUCACUUAAACAAACAAUUUCAAAAUUUCAAUACAUAGUAAAAACCUUUUAUCACUAAGGGUCAUCACUUUUUAUCAAGAAAAGGCAAAAGUAAAUACAGGGAAACAAAAUUAUUCUAAAAUAUUCAAGUUGCCGGUAAUGUUUUCCAGGAUAAACAAAUAAUCAAACAAUUUCACAAAGGCGACGAAAAAGAAGGGGUAGAAAACUACAGUGUUUUCCGACAACCAUUCUUCAUAUAGAUAAGCGUAUCUAAAAUUUAGUGUCUCAUAAAUCACAAAAUAUUUAGGCAACUUGCAGGCAGCAUCUGAUGCAUCCAAGGCUCAUAGCCAUAAAAUGAAAGACAAAACAUCAUUUUAGAUGGACAUUAAUAUCACCCUUUGAUUUGACAAUAGCGUUUGCAAUUCACAACAGAUGAGACCCCAAAGCAAAACAUAAAGAGCAUCAAACACACACACACACACACACAGAAAGCGAGAGAGAGGGAGGGGGGAAGAGAGAGCAUCGGCUGAAUUGUAGAAAAAUUUCCUCUUUACAAUCUUGUUUUAAGAAAACAAAAUCUUGCAAGGUGCAAUAAGUAAUCUUCUUUUAAGAAGCUGGCAUCAAAUGUUGAUGACAAAGCAACUAUUUACAGGGCUUACCAGCAAUAAUCACUGGAAUUAACAAAUCCUAAAACCUAGUUUGCUGGAACAUAAGGCCGAAAAAUGCAUGCGGAACGCAUUUCGACAAAUCAGAGGGCAAAGAGAAUCAACCACGAACCAUUUGCACGAUGCAGCUGGGAACAGUUUGGUCGCAGCUGACAGAACAAAACCCAUCAAUUUGACCUAGCAUUCAGAUAAUAAGGAAAAGGAGAAAAUUUUUAAUAGUCAGUUGAAUCGUCCAACAAAAUCAUUAGACAUAGAAAACGUGUUGAAGUAAAAAAAAUCAUCACCUUGGCCAUUCUAUCAUUAUCUCAAGGAUAUAGCAGGAUGUAUUACUAAUACCAGGAUAUCUCAAUACAUCUCACCUAAGCAUUUAUUAUUUUACAAGGAACAAAAUUAAUAUCCUUGAAAUGGAUAUUUAAGGGCACGUUCGGUAUUGCUUUUAAAUUUCUAUUUUCUUAAAACAAAAUGAGAAUGGAAAUUGUGUUUUGAAGUUGUUAUAUUCUUAAUUUAGGUAUGUGUUUAUUAUUAUUUUGUGUAUCCUAUAUUUUGAAAACGAAAAUAAUAAUACGCGUUCAGUAUAUAAAGUUAAAAAUGAAAAAAUAAUGAAUCUAUUAACAGUUUUACUACAUGCAAAUUAAUUUUGUGUUUAAAAUUUAUAUAAAAGCUAGUUUGUUUUUCAAUAUACCAACUUACAAUAAUAAUUAUUAUAAUUUUGAUUUUUUCUAAAUAAUUGUUUUUUGCUAAUGUGCUCGCUGUUCAGCAGAUCUUCCUACCUUAUAUACUUGAUUCGAAAAUGAUUUAAAAGGAGGAAAAAAAAAUUUAAAAAUAUUAAAUCUAAUUCUCCAUUUUAUUAAAAAAAAAUCAAAUUCUCCUUUCAACAUUUUUAACAUAUCAAUAUAAAAGUUAUUAAAUAUCGCGUUUCUAAAGAAAAGAUUGCAUGCUUACAAUGAAGAACCAAAUACCCAGAUCUGCAAAGAUCAGUGUAAAUCUCUGCAGAUCUUUGGUGAUUUUAUCAAAAUAAAACUGAAUAAAAUGUAUAAGAACCCAGAAAUAUGUCCCAAAAAGGGGAGGGAGAUGAGAAUUAAGAGAUAAGGUAGAUAGAUGAGGUGUUAAGAGUAAAGAUGGAGACUACCUAUUAUUAUUUAUUAGCCGUGUUUAUUAUUAUAAUUUACUUUACAAUCUGUUUCAUAAAGCAAGUAAGACAUGUAUAAGUUGUUUUGUAAUUUACAACUGCAAAAGUUAAGUCAGAUUUUGUGUUUUACAAUCACAUUUUACGAGAAAGACUACCAAACACUUAUUUCACUUGAAUUUAUAAAACAAAAACGAGAAUGACCCGAGUAGAACGGUACUGAACACCCCCUCAUUUAUAUGAUUGAAAUUAAUAUCCGUAUAUCAAUGUAUUUCAUCAACUUCAUAAUCUCAAUAAGUUUAACAAAUAUUGCGAGACAAUCUAAGAGUGCAUGAAGACACAUGCAAGUACAGAAUCAGACACCAAAUAUGCCAAUUAUGGAUGACAUACCAAUUAUGGUAAUCCAUCUCAAGCAGAGAUUCUGAGGUCUAGUGUACAUUACGGUUGAGUAAUCCUUGGAAAUACAAAUAAAGAUCUUUGUUGUCUGUCCCAAAAAUCUCUUCUGCUUUCCUCAAGGUUUCCUGAAUGGUGAUAGAUAGAAGUCAGUCGUCAAAUCAAACUGCAAUAUAUCAUUUUGCAUCAAUAUGAAAAAUAAUGAAAAAGUACAAUCAGUAACUCAUUACCUCUCGGGUUUGCUUCUGAGCAUUUAACUCCUUGAUGCUAGCCAGAAAUGCACUGAAUUGUUCAUAUGAUAGGCGACUCCUGAAUUACAAAUAUAUCCUAAUCAGUCAGUAAAGAUCCUGAAAGUUCCUGUGGCACAUCAGUCGCCACAUACACAUUAGAAUUGGAAUAGUGGAACUCACCUGGCUUGGCGGAAGAACUCCUUUCCAUCAAUUCGAGGAGUGCGCCCUAUUGUUAUUCACAGAAAAUAGAAAAAUUAUCAGGACGGAAAUGAAAAUUGGUUUAGCAAAUGUGAUAAAAAGCGCAAGUGCUAGAAUAGGAUACAAUCAAUUAAAUCUAACCAAGCAACCAAAAUAUAUACUUGAAUAAUCUAGGUGCAAUAGGAAGCUUGUUGAACAAAUACCAAGACAAGACUCACUAGCAGUGGAUAAAUGAGAAUUAAACAUUAUAAACCUGGAAGUGAACGCCCACGAGGAGGAGAGUUUGCUGCUGAUGACUGCUGGCUUGAAGGAUACCAUGAAGACAGUGAAAUCCGUCCAUCAUUCUGAGUUUUUGUUGGAGACAUUGUACCAGAGGUUCUUUUGGGAGAUCCAGCAACAGAAUAACCUCUAGGGGAUACACUUGUGGAAAUAACUUUCGGAGUUCCAGUUGGAGUCAGCCGUGGUGUGAUAUAUGGAGUUAGAGAAAAUCUUUGUGCAGUAUUUCUUGAAACUGUUGAUCAAACAAUCAGCAUAAGUAAACCCUUUUUUCUAUUUUUGUUAAAUAAGCUUCAAAUGCUGAAUAAAUAAGCAGACCCUUGUAAACACUAUAUAUUAACUUGAGAACAGCCUACACAGGAUAAGUUUGAGGAUACUGAGUCAACAAGACUUGAAAGGGCUUAGCCGUGAAACUUGCAGAAUGCUUCAAUAUGCAUCCAUAUGCAUUGAAUUAUCAAACAGCAAAGUCCUAAGAAAAUAGAAAGUAUCAGCUUUGUUAUUGCCUCCAAGAUGAUAUUCAUUCUUGAUAGUUGCCCCUAUACGUAGUAGCUAGCUCAUCUUGUUGAUUUAUAAGUUUAAACUAAUCAUUUUCCCGAAGACUGCAUCUAAACUUUCAAUCAAUUUUUAAGCUUUUAGUGAGAAGAUUUUGGCAAAGCUUAUCUUGAAUUGUACGAAAUUUUAAAUUUUAGUUUACCGAAAGUAAUGUAAGUAAAUAUUUAUUCUUUGUUUCUAUCAGAACAGUAGCAAUGGAAGCAACAAUUCCUAUAAGCCUUUGAAAAUUUGACUUGGCAAAUGCAUCCAGAUUCUAACCAUACUUAAAUGUUAACAUACCUAUUUUGCUAGGUUUCUCUACUUUCUAUUGAAGUAAUGAACAUUUAAAUUAAGUCUAGCAUACAAUUCUAGAUAGCAUUCCAUACCAACCGAUAGAGUACGUUUCUAGCAUGAAUUUAAUCUUAUAUCAUCAUAGAACCAAUCAUAACAUAUAAUAUGCAUAAGCCAUGCAGUAAAAUGCGCAGAAAAGACUAUUUCAAUUACCUUCGUCAACUGUGUUUCCCAUAUCUGUUGAACCAUUGAAGCUACGAUGUGCAGUAUAGCCAUUGUUCCCACCAUCUAGCAUAGGUAUGGGAAUUGAUUGAAUGAUCAUGAAAAGGCAAACACAAGAGGAAAAACGAAGUUAAAUUCUUUGAACAAAAAAACAGAGUCAAUAAUCAUAAUUGGUUCAUAAUAAAGGUCAUAUUGAAUCAGAAAAUAUUUCAAGCCAAGAUUAAUAGUACCCUUGUCAGGAUAGGCUCUUGGAACCGGCUGGUCACAGGUCCCAAUAUCCACAGUUUCAGCCUGCAGUCAAAGAUACAAAAAACCGGUAACAAAUGAGUGGUUUACAACAAAAUGUACAAACAAAAGUCAUGUAGCACACAAACAAAUAAAUUGAAAUUGGUUCGUAUGAAAUUCUUACAGAUGAAUUGUCAUCAUUCAGCGACUGCAUCAGUUGUCUCUUAAAUGUUUCCAACUGCAAGUAAAAAACGCACCAAUCACUAUAAUAGAACUGCAUACAUACACAUUCUGUUUAAGCACUCAGUAUAAUUAGGCAGCAUUGAAAUUGUUGGCGUAAAUUUCAUUCAAUUGAAUCGAAAAUGCAACAAUGCACACAACAAUUUGACCAAUUAAAGUACAACAUUCAGCUACAAUUUUAGUCAAAUAAUUUUCAUGUCUAACCUUUGCUAAAUCACGGCUUAGAUUCCUCACAGUCAUUGCCAACGAAUCUCGUUCCUUCGCAAGCUUAGCCUUUUAAUAAAAAAGGAAAAAGAAAAAAAAACAAUCGAACAUUUCGUCAAUAAUUCCUAAAAACCACAAAUUUACAAAAAAAAAAGCCACAAAACCCUAACGUUUCAAGUGAAAUAACAGAUAAUUUACAAAAUUAAGCAAGCUUACAUUAUCAUCGAUGAAAAUUUUCAACUUCGAGUCGGCUUCUUGGUACACCUUUUGCACGUGCGACAAUCUCUCUUCGAGCUCGCAUAUCAGGCGAUCUUUCUCGUACAGCAUCUGCCUCAUCGUCCCCGUCUCCGUCUCCAGCUUCGACACGCGCGACGCGAUGGCCAUGGACGUGAUCUUACGCGCCAGAUCCAGCUGGUCGUACGGAUCCGUCGGUAUCACCGCCAGUACCUCGUCAGGUAAAUGAAAGUCGGGCCCACCGCCGCUCUCUCCGCUGCUCUGCGACAUACCUGAUUCUCUCUCGACCCAAUCGUCAAUCGGUGAUGAGUUGUUAGGUGGUUGGAAGCUUUAGGUAAGGCUGACAGUACAGAUGAGGAACUUUGGAUUGAACGCCUUUCAAAAAUGGUUUUGCUUUUUUUUAUUUUUUUUCUUUUUCUCCCUUUAAAUAAUAAGUUUGAAUUAAUUGCUUUGGGGUGCGGGGGUUUUUCUUUGGCAGGUUGAGUCUUUAGGUGCUCAGUUUUUGGGAUUUUGUCGCUAUUCGAAAAUUUAAAGGGAGUUGUUUCCCUCCAAACGCGUCAUCGCUGCUGGUAGCCUCCAUCUGUUCGAUCAAAUUGAACACCCCCUUUUUAAAGUGAUAAUAUAAAAAUUCAAAAUUAUUAAAAUUUCAAAGAUAUCAUUUUAAUUUUUUUUUUUUUUGACAAAUGAUUUCGACUUAUAUGAUACUACGUACAUGUUUAUUUGGGAUGUAAAUGUGAUAAUCUAUGUUGGCGUCUAAUAUCAAAUUUCAGGCUAAACCAAACAAAUUUGAUUUAUUAAAAAAUUUUGUUACUUGAUUAAGCACUAUCUACCUAUUUUGUUGAAUUUUCAAACUUUGAAAUUGAGAAUAGGACUAAAAGCUAAUUUAUUGAUUUAAGAGACACUUUUUAAGAACUCUAAAUAAAAACUUGAUAAUAAAUUUGACAAAGAUAAUAAUUGUAUUAUUUUAUAUCAAUCUAAACCCAUUAUUAAUAUCAAAUUGAGAAGUUAUGUCAGCUAUUAUUACGCCUAAUCUUCGAAUAUUACAUUUGAUAAUACUAUUAUGUUUUUAAAUUUUUUAUAAUGUUUUAAUAUACGUUGCUUUAACAUAGAACCAACAAGAUAACCGUGACUAACAUCGCACGGGUAUUUUUUUAGAUCUACAUUGGAGUGGCUCACUCUUCUUAGAGCAACGUAGCCGUGACCUCAGUGACCUGAAACAUGUACAUACGUAUAGAGAGAGGCACAAAUCUGGCGAAAAAUCCGUUCACAUUACAAUUCACAAUGGACCCAAAUCAACAGCCUCAUCAUGGGCCCAAUGCGAGCCCGGCUAACUUAAAAAGAAAAAAAGAGCCCGUGUCCGUUUCAUCCGUGCCCCCAGUAGGCUGCUUUUAACGUAAACAAAUGAUCGCAAAUCGACAAAUGGGUUUUUUCCAGGGACCUCCCCUGAGGUUUAGUGUAUUGACAGUUGGAUAGAAAGUAUUCAUAUAAUUACAGAAACCUCCCCUGAUGUUAGUAUUCCAUUAACUGGACUGUCAGUUGACUGUUGAAAUUUCAAAAAUGCCCUUGCCGCCAAAAUAUAUUUUUAACAGAGGAGGUUGCGCUCUUAACAUAGCCUUAUUAGCAUUCAUUUCUGAUCUUUUGUUCUCUUAAAUCAAAAUUAUAUAACACCAUGACCAACCUGGUUUAAUCAUAAUAUCAUUACCAACUUUAAAUCAGAACUAUAUAAAACAACAUAUCAUUACACACACUUAGCUCCAAGUAGUUCAAGUACCUAGAACAAUCGCUUUUAUGUAUGCAUAUGAAGCAGUUUUGUUCAUAGCAUAUUGUAUUAUUGGAACUAUUAACUCAAACACUAGCUCUUUACCAAAAAUUAAAACUAACUAAAAAAUGCAAUCGCGAGCGCUUUUAUCUUUUUGCAAUAGUUGGUUGAAUCAGACAAAAGCGCUUUCUAAGAUUAAGAGAAGCACUUGGACAGCUUCUGCCAGAAGCACUUUAAAGAAAAGACAUUUCUGGGGGAACAAAAAAAUGUAGUUAAAAGUGUUUGUAAGAAAAGCACUUAAUUGAUAAUUCUCUAAAAAGCAAUUUCAGGUGCUUUUGCAUAAUGCACCUUAAAUCAAAGCUGCUAAUACUAGUGGUUGAACACCAACCUCAAACAAUGCAUCAGGAACAAAUCUAUAAACUACAUUAUCCUGAUCCAUAAUUCUGAAAUCAAUAUUAAAUUCUCAUUUGAAAACAAGUUUUUUUUUUUAAAAAAGUUAUGAAUUAAGAAAUAACAUGAACAAAAAGCUCGAGAUCUUUGCCAAUUGACACAAGAUCCAAGUUCUGAUCAAAGCAAUACACGCGUACACGACUGCCUGAACUGCCGGCGUAAAAAAUAACAAUGUAACUCUUGGAGAGCUUCAAAUUGGGGGAAAGCUUGCGGCUGAGACCGUAAUCCAGAGUGGCGUCGGCGGAGGGGGCACGGCCGGGCAUGAGAAACAAAACGACGACAAUCAACAUGACUGGGAUGGAAAUGAUUAGCAAAACGCUGCGGUAACGCUGGAUCUUGUCUGAGAAGGAGUUGUGCUGGCGAUUGUGAGGCCGCUUGAUCAUUUUGUCCGAGGAGCGGUCUCAAGGAGCUCGACAGUGGCGGGAACCAAUUUCUGGUCCGAUAAUUUCAAGAUCCCGCCACAGAUCUCCGUCAACUCGGCCUCGAUCUUCGACCUGUACUCCUUAAUCAUGGAGACAUGGUAAUAGUUGCCGCGCGACUCCUCCUUUUGCUCGAUGGAGGACACGAUGCGCCAGGAGGCGCGGCGUGCGCCGAUGACGUUUUUGUAGGCGACAAAGAGGAGGUUGCGCUCCUUGACGAUAAUUUCCUCGCCGGUCGAGGCGGAGGCGAUGAAUUUUUUCAUGUAUUGGAUCAUCUCUUCAUAUCGCUCGACUUGCUCCGCAAAUUUUACCAUUUAUACGUUUUCUUCCCGUGGAGAAAGAGCUGCCAUUUUUCCGUUCAAUUAUGCUUGUUUGAAUUUUGUUUUUGUUUAAAUUUUAAAUUUACUUUUAUGUAUUUGUCUUUUUUAAUAACAUUAUAUGUAUUUUUGUAUUAACAUCAGGGAGAUCCCUGAAAUUACAUGAAUACUUUCUAUCCGACUCUCAAUACACUAAACCUCAGGGGAGAUACCUAAAAAUUACCCCUCGACAAAUAUAAAAGAAAAUAAAACGUCAGUGUGUUUGUUCUCUCUCUCUCGCACUCUCUCUCUGAGUCUCUCCGAGUUCUCUCGCAUUUUCUCGGCAGCCACACACACAAAUUGCGGACAAAGCGGGAAAUCGAGAAUGUCAGUGCUUAUAGUAACGAGCUUAGGAGACAUAGUCGUGGAUUUAUUCAUCGACAAGUGUCCGUUAACCACCAAAAACUUCUUGAAGCUCUGCAAGUACGAUUCCAUUCGCACACUCGACGCUCAGUUUCCUUUAUUCUCUAAAUAUCACCGUCAGUUUUAAAGCCUAACAAUUUUCGACAUCAUAACUUCGAUUUUUAUCUCUCUUUUGUUGUAGGAUUAAGUACUAUAAUGGCUGUUUGUUUCACACUGUUCAGAAAGAUUUUACAGCCCAAACUGGCGACCCCACCGGCACCGGAACCGGUGGUGACUCGGUCUAUAAGUAAUGAUCUCUUAGUUAUGUUGAUGUAUGUUUAGAAUGAGAUAGUGCGUGCGUUUAUGUUAUAUAAUGUUCUGGUUUUUAGGUUUUUGUAUGGGGAGCAGGCUAGAUUCUUUGGAGAUGAGAUUCGUGUGGAUUUGAAGCAUGCUAAGACAGGAACGGUUGCUAUGGCUAGUGCUGGGGAGAAUCUGAAUGCUUCUCAGGUUUAGUAUUAAGAUUGUGUUACUGAUUUAUUUAAGUAUUUUGAUUAGCUUCAUUAUUGCAGUGAAAUUUGUGAUUUGGCAUUGAGGUUAAGUUGGGAAAUUGCGUAGGUGUUUAUUGUUGGAUUUUUUUUUUUUUUUUUUUGCAGUUUUAUAUGACUCUGCGGGAUAAUUUGGACUAUCUCGAUGAGAAGCAUACUGUGAGUCUCUUAAUCCUCAACUUAUUACUUUAUGAUUGUCCUGCUAGUCUUUGUUUUAUGAGCCAAAUGAAUGAACAAUUAGUUUGUGUUGUUUUACGCAUUUUCAAGUAUCUUUUCUCGUAAAAAAUCGUAAAGUAUGAAAUUUCGGUUGUUUCUUGACUCCAUGAAUUUCUGAGAUGCUUUGGGUUUGCCACUUGGGUUUGCUUUAUGUUAUUGUAUUGAUUGCAAUCCUUACAAUUCUAGUAUGUAGAGAAAGAUACCUGGCCACCAAAUUGUGAAUAAUUUUGCUAUAGGCAACAGUCGCAGUGUAAAACUCAGUUUGGCAGUUUCUUUUGCGCUUGGAAUUUACAGAAUGUCUCUUUGGAUGUCUUAGGGUGGUCGUUCCUUUCUUAAGCCUUAGGGAUAAUUGAGAACUGCUUUGGGUGAUGUGGAAAUUAUGAUGUAGAAAUUUGCUUUUUUCACUUGAAUCCAUCCUGUUGCCUGUUGGUGAAAGUUUCUUAUGAAUGAGUUUAUUGUUGCAGAUUUUUGGGGAGGUCGCUGAGGGGCUUGAAACUCUGUCUAGAAUAAAUGAAUCUUUCGUGGAUGAGAAGAAUAGACCAUACAAAAACAUCAGGUUUGUGUUUUCCAUUGGAUAAGUUUUCAUGUUAAUUUGUGAAUAGAAUUCAUCUUAUUUCUACUAAGUAUUAUCUUGUGCAGAAUCAAACACACUUAUAUUUUAGAGGAUCCUUUUGAUGAUCCUGCUCAGCUGGCUGAGUUGAUUCCCGAUGCAUCGCCUGAAGGCAAACCUAAAGAUGAGGUAUUGACCAUUUUCUUCAUUUAUUUAUGGGUAGGUUUAAAAUGAAAAAGAAAAUCAAUAUCACUGAAUUAUAGUUUUUAUGUAUCCAAAGCUUUUGCUGCCUACAUUAAGAGUGUUCUUUAUUUUUGUUAUUAAUUCAUCGCACCUGUGGUUAAAAGUUUGAUUCAGUGAAGGCCUCUAGAAAAAGAAGUUGAUAAUAUUUAACAAAAAAGCUUGAUUUAUUUUAGGUUCUGGGAUUAUAGUAUCAAAUCCUGCAAUUCAUGGCUAAUGCUGAUUAAUGCUAAUAUAAGAUCUUUUUUAACUGUUGGUUGGUACUAAUCGAGGGCCCAACCUGGUGAAGUGAAAUUUGUAAUUAAAUCGGGUUAUUUUGAGUGCCUUCACUUGGUGGGAUUCAGCUCCGUAUUCUAUUUUGGAUGAUUUUUUUUUUUUUGGGAUGCAGUUGGUGUCGCAAACUAUAGAUUUUGCUAGAUUUUUAAAAUUUACAAUCUGUCCUGUAGUGUUCUUAUGUUUUUGCCUGCAUGCAUAGCUUGUACUUGUUAGAGGUUCUCUGUUUGAUUGAGGUCACUGGGGAGUUGAGCUCUUUUCUGGAACCUGAAAGCAUAGCUUUAGUGUAAGGGGGAUGGGGGCUCCCCGACCCCCAAUUAGGCGUAAUUUUUCUUUUUCAUUAAUAAAGCUUCCCUUGUACUGCAGAGGUUCACCCUCCCACACACACACACACACACACACUCUGAACCUAGUAAUGUCUUUUUGGCAAGCAAUUUCAUGGUCAGGGCUGAUUUUCGAUGUUGUGACCAGGUCGUUGACGAAGUGCGGCUUGAAGAUGACUGGGUGCCCCUUGAUGAGCAAUUAAGUGCAGCAGAACUUGAGCAAGUUAUCCGUUCGAAGGAUGCACGUUCAAGUGCAGUUGUACUUGAGAGUGUAAGCAUUCUAUACAUACAAUAUGAUACAGUUAUUUUUCGUCUAGCUGUGAAUAAUGUGAUUCAUUUUUUUAGUCUUGUGUACAUUGCAGAUCGGCGAUAUUCCUGAUGCUGACAUCAAGCCUCCUGAGAAUGUGUUGUUUGUUUGUAAACUGAAUCCAGUCACUGAAGUGAGUUUGUGUUCAUUAUUGUAUUAGGAUCACAUUAUUGCUAGGAUAAGUUUUAAUGUACUACUACUUUCCUUUUGAAUUUGAACUUUGUUUAAGGGCAAGUAAGGGACAAAGGAGAGUGGCCCUCUGUUUUGCCUUUAAAUUGAUGACAAAGUAAAUGGCAGAAGUUUAGCUGUUGAGUGGCAUGUGGAAGGGAUUUAUUGAUAUGUUUUACCCCCUUGUUCAGCUAUUGUAUUGUGGUUGUUAUUUUGUUCUUUUUUUAACCACCAAUAGAAGGUCAAUCUCUUAUUCCCUCUUGCAGGACGAGGACUUGCAUACAAUCUUCUCACGUUUUGGGACUGUUGUCUCGUAAGCUAUAAAGCCUUUCUUUUAGUGUUGAUUAACUCUUUAAUGCGGGCAAGUGUGGGAUUUAAAUGCGUUUCUAAUUAUAACUUAUUUUUACAGGGCUGAAAUAAUCCGUGAUUUCAAGACUGGAGACAGUCUAAAUUAUGCGUUCAUUGGUGAGUGAAAUUUUUGUCAAAUAUUGUCACACUGCCCAUUGAAUUACACAGCAACUGUCUAUUCUUCAGUUAAGCAAGCUUGAGUGAGAUUAAUCUGUUCCCUUGCUCACACACACACACACAGAUAUAGCAAAGUGACGUGCAUCUGUUCCAUACUGGUUUCUGUAUGAUGUUAAUAAUUUACUUUCUUUUUACCAGAGUUCGAGAACAGACAGGCAUGUGAACGAGCGUACUCCAAGGUGAUCUUAAACCCCGAAAGUACUUAUUUGUUUCUCAAAUCUUGGAUUUUUGUGCUUGCAUGUAUAGUGAUGUUGAUGUAUGUGGCACUAUAUGUAAUUGUCUUCCAUUUGCAACUUCUAUUGACCAUGGAUUAAACAGAAAAUGAUAUUUCAUUGGAGUAGAUUUACUAGACGUGAGAACCAGGUGCAUUUAUGAACUUAAUUCUGUGCAAUCCUUUGGAAUGAUAACCGCAACACCCAUCCUUAGAUGCAGAAGCAGUUGUCAUAUGUUUUCUUCACCAUUAGUCUCGAGGACAUUCAUUAUUUUUAACCAUAUUGUUUUAUUAAUUCAUUUUAUUGGUUUUGCUGAACUUGGCAAUCUUUCUUUUGACGGUAGAUGGAUAAUGCUUUGAUUGAUGAUAGAAGGAUACAUGUGGAUUUUAGUCAAAGUGUCUCAAAGCUUUGGAACCAAUUCAGACGAAGAGAUCACCAAACUGGUAAAGGUAAUAGUUAAAUGCCACCUCACCAGGACAUCAAACGUUCUUGUUUAACAAGUUUGUGAUUGUGGUUGUGUGUGCGUUAAUUUCAGUCUACCUUUUUUCCUUUCUAUAUGAUGGUUGGAGGAACCGCAAUUUAAAUAGCAAACAUUGCUUUAUCUCUCUUCUGUGUUGUUAAUUCUAUUUGCACAACUUCAUGUGUGUGUUCAGACAUUCUUGUGACUUCUCAGGAAUCUUUUUAGUUCAUAAAUAAUUUGUUUAUUUCUGUAGGAAAAGGUUGCUUCAAAUGUGGGGGUCUUGAUCACAUUGCCAAGGAUUGCACCGGGCAGCAACCUGCAAAAUACAUAUUAAGAGAUGAUAACCGACAGCAUGGUGGAUACAGUGACUCCAGGUUGUUAAAACUAGUACCAUGCAGUUUUUUGGAUCUUGCUUUUUUGCUUGCUCUCUUUCUGACAGUGCCAUGAUUGUUGUAGGUACGAAAUGGUAUUUGAUGGGGAGACUCCUGAAAAAUCAAGACGUGAAAAGAAACAUCGAGGCCAUGAUCCAGAUGACCGAGUUGAGAGAAAUAUGAAUAGGUUGAGUUCUGAAUUGAGACAUAGGGAUCAAGAAAGGAGAGAGCUAAGUUACAGGCAAAGGGAAAGUGACAGAACAAGGGAAAACAGGGAAGACAGGAGGAAUCGAGAUGGUCAAGAAAGUCGAAAUGUGCAGAAACAAGAAGUGAGAGACGAUGAUGGCAGAUAUGAGUCGGAUCACCCAAAGAGUUCAGAUACUGAUCGCUACAGGGACUGGAGGGGUGGAGGAGAUUAUAGGAAGAGAAGUGCAGAUAGUGAUAGUCGUGCGGAGAGGAGGGAAGAUGGAGAUUACAGAAAGAGAAAUUCAGAUAAUGGAAGUCAUCGAGAUCGGAGGGAUGAUCGGGAUUAUAGAAAGAAAAGUGCUGAUGGUGAUAUCCAUGGUGACAGGAGAUAUGAUAGAGAUAAUCGAAAGAACUCUGGCAAUAGUGAACUGAGGGAUGCAAAAAAGGAGCCAAGUUAUAAAAGGGGCAGAAGAGAUGAUGAUAGCUAUAAAAGAUGGCCAGAAGAUCGGGGAAAUAGACGUCGGGGUGAGUGAUGGAGAAACUGGGAAUGCAAAGAUAGGGAAAAAAGUUAAGAUAGUAGCUUCGCUUAAGGUUAUGGAAAAAUCUAACAUUAAAUAAAUACCUUGGUAGCAGAGCAGGCUCGGGCAAUAUGGCACUUGAGAGUUUUCAUCUUCUUUUUCCUUUUCUCACGAUCACGGUCAUGACAGGGAUACUGAACCAGACCCGUACUAGAAAACUAGAAAUGAGUGGAACAGUUUAUUUCACAAGGAUAUUUCAUUUUACUGAAACCGAUUUGAGAUCUUAAUAUUAGAUGUUUUUAUCUCCAUUUAUGAUGUUUUGUAUUGUUUAACCUUGAAAAUUUCUACCUUUUAGAUAACAUAUUAUACAUGCAGUGGAAAUGUGUAGUUAGCUUGUAAAGCAUAACAGAUUCAUUUAUUUCAGGGACUUUAUAUUCGAAAAUAAAAAUGGAGAGACACUUAAGGUGGGUAGGAAUUGGGAUUGUCUCAUGGAACCGUCCUUUUUGUCUUCUAAUAGGAAACGAAGAAACUUGAAUUAAGAAGAAAAACAGGAACAAAUAGUGAACAAGAUGUCCACAAAAAUGAACCGCUUAAGAACGCAAAAAGAGCUAUGCAAGGUAAUCCCACGGCAUCGUCUAAUUUGAGUCCUCUCAAGUUUGACAGUUAGGUUACACCAACAGAAUUUCAUCUACCUUAAAAUGCUUUAGGCAAGGCUGUUAUUUUUCUUAAGGGGAAUUAUUAUCUUUACAUCACUUUUUUUUUUUUUUAUUAUCAUAUGUAUAUUUAAUUAUCAUAAAAUUUCGACAUGUAUUUUGAACCAUCUUUAUUUCUAAACUUGUAUCAAUCAAUCACUUUAACACUAAAAAAUAACCGUUUUAUUCAUAAAUGAAUUAAAAGAUCAUUUUAUUCUACAAAAUUUUGAAAAAUAAAAUAUUAUAAUUAUAAAAAUACCCUUAAUUCAAUAGAACAAAUAAAUCUCAAAAUCUAAGAUGAUAAUUUUUAAAUGAAAUUAUAAUUAUAAAAAAUUGACAACUUGUAAUUAUAAUUUUUGUAAUCAUAAUUUCAUUUAAUUUGUUUAAGGAAGUUUCUUAAUAUUAAUUAUAGAAAAGUUUACAAUAAUUAUAGGGAGCUUUUCUCUUCUUAAUUUUUGUAAACAUCUCUCCAUUUAAUUUAAUUACAAACAUAAAAUGAAAUUAUGGUUACAAAAAAUUAUAAUUACAAGAUGUUAUUUUUUAUAAUUAUAAUUUCAUUUAAAAAUUAUCAUCUUAAAUUUUGAGAUUUGUUUGUUUUAUUGAAUUGAUGAGUAUUCUUAUAUUAUAGUCUUUAUGUUCUUCAAAAUUUUAUAAAAUAAAAUAAUUUUUUAAUUCACUUAAGGGUAAAAUGACCAUUUUUUAGUGUCAAAUUGGCAUGAACUUAGAAACAAAAGUGUUAAAAAAUACAUGUCAAAAUUUUAUUGUAGUGAUUAGAUGUACAUACAAUAAAAGAAAAGUGUUGCAGUGAUAAUUUUUUAUUCAAAAAAAAAAAGGAAAGGGUACUCCACGGAAGAAAAAGACAGACGAAAACAGAGAACAUGAAAAAUUAGCUUCAUAAUGCCACCAUUUAUAAUAUAUAUUUAAAAACUUUAGCAACAUUACAAGUUUCUGGCUACCACCUUACAGAUUCUCAAGUCUUGGCCACAUAAUCAUUAUCAUUAUUAUACAGGUAACAAAUGCUCCAAAUAUUUGAAGAAGCAGCCUUUCUAUAACCUUUCAUUCUAACAAAUUUCCCCGGAAAAUAUGGGGAAUGAGAAUCGAUGCAAGAUGGCCUAGUAAUAAACUCAAGAAAAGAGUUUUAUAGUUCGCGGAUUAAACCCCCUUAUAAUUAAUAUGGUCAGCGGUAUCACCUCAGAAGAAGAGCAUGUAUAUAUGACUAGCUUCAGACAUGAUUUUCUGGUAUGUGCCUUCUGUGAUCCCAACCAACACGGCUCAUCUUGUUUCGAUCAUCUAUAUAAUCAUAAUUAUGAUGAUGGGAUCCAAGGCCAUAACUUUGCCGUGGCCUCCCUUCUGGUCCUCUCUCAGGUGGGCUCCCCACCUUCCGCUUGCGGUUGCUUGGCUUGGGAGGAUCAGAACCCCGACCAAGGUCAUCAGGCACUGACACCUCCCCUUCUUCCACAUUCUCCAAAUCUGAUACAUGUGACGACUGCCGCCUUCUUUCUCGCGGAACAUCUCCAGCAUCCUCCAGAUGCCUCUGAUGAUUUGAGUUCUCAUAUUCUCGUUCAAUUCCAUUUUCCACUUCCCUCUCAAUAAGAUCAUCCUCAUCCAUCAGGUCAGUUUUUUGAGUUCUGCCAACACGGGACUGCCUGCGUUUCUCUACUGCUGCCUUUAGCUUGUCUGUGUCAAGCUUCUUGAUAGUGUCCUGGGGUGACUGGCCAACUGUACCUCCACUAUGUUCCAGAUUUCUGACAAAACGCUUGUCCUUUGAUUCCCCAACUUCUCUUGCUUCUCUUCUCGCCACAAUCCUUCCUUGAUCCUCUUCGCCCAGUGCAUCUGCCCCAAAUCUCGAUACUCUCUGAAGUUUGCCCUUGUUUUGAUAAGGCAAUGUCUCUGAUUCAGAGUACAGAUCAUCUUUAUUGGAGUCAGCAUAUGCAUCGUCAUCUAAAGCAUUUUCCAUUUCUACACUCCUGUAGUCAUUAUGCUGACUUUGGGUAGUUCUUGGAGGUGCGCAAUGAGUAUCAGCUAACGGCUGCUCAGACACUGCUUUAACUGAAACAGGCUUUAAGGGUCCAGGUCUUGACGUAGUAGCGCUAGCCUGUGAAUAACUACUCGUUGCAGCCGGAUAUUCUUCAGUGAUUGAUAGAGCUUUGGAUGAUGCCCGAUGAGUACCUCCAGAUCCAGUACUUCCUUCAACAUCACCGUGUGAAGGUUGCACCCGGUUUUGUUCAUAGAGUUCCAACAUUUGAUUGCUAACCUCUGCAAGACAAAAAGGUUCAACAUCACUACUAACUGUUAACAUUAACAACAGAAUGAAAAAUCAUUAUAACAAUCCUGACAAUAAUAAUGAUAAUAAAAAGAAUGAAACUGAUUCGUAAGGAAAAGCAAAGGAAGAAACCAUGGUCCAUCGGAUUAUCUGUGUUUCUAAUUUAUUUUUUAAACAAGAGAACAGUAAGAUGAGAAUACAUAAAUUAUAAGAACAAAAGGGACAAUAUUAACAACUGCAGAAAAGGGAGAACACCGACCCUCCAAUUGGCGUGGGGUGACAUCAAACUCUUGCCACCACAUCCUGUCACCAUCUGAUGGAAGCUUUACUUUCAGGAACUUCGCAGCAAGAAAAAUAGCCCCCGCAGCAACAUGAUGGGGCUUAAACUGCAAGCAAAGUGAGGUCCGCAGUCUGCACACAUUCCCCAAUCAAGAAGAUACAAUAGGAAAAGGCCAUGAAUGCACAACAUACAAGAAAACAACUGAGCAUACCCAUCAUUGACAAAAUUCCAAGCAACUUGUGCAAGGGCAUUCUGAGCAACCUUAAAUUUCUUUAUUGCCUCAACGAGGGGUUUGUACGGAUGCAGUACAUUUAGGUCAAAAGCAAGAGUCGCAAGCACAACUCUCUCUCCAAGUAAAAUUAACUCUUUCUGUUGUUCAUACACCUCCUGCAUAAUGCAUGCAAUACAAUCAAUUGAUUAACCGACUAGAACUGAGAAGAAAAACAAGCUUACACUGAAGGAAAAAAGAAGAGGGUUGGAAGGAAAAGAAGAGACAAGGAAUCACACAUCCUUGGACCAUCAAUAUAAUGCUUGUGCUAGAAAAAAUAUGCUGAAUGCUGAAAUGGAAACAAAUAAAUUCCAUAAUAAAACAAUAUGACAUACAUUCUCUAGGAUUUAACACUAAGGACUUGACAGAACAGUCAUCAAUAAGUCGUUUUUCCUCUUUCAUAAAUACAGCCAAAACAGGACAGAUAGGCAAAUUUGAGAUUAAUGGGAAAGCAAAUAAUUCUUGUGUUUAUUCCAGAAACAGAGAAACAAUACGACAAUUCCGAGCAAACUUAAGUAUGUCCCAGCUACACAUUAAACGCCUACUGAAAACAGACAAAAAAGGCCAGUGAUAACAUUCAAAACCUGAUAACAUUCAAAACCCGACUUUACUCAAUAAAUCUGAAAUACAACUCUACUUGCUAUAUCUGACAUCCAAUCUAGAAUAUCAAAGUAUUUCCCAAAAUGUAAAUAAAAGAAAUAAUUGCCAAUUUAUGCUAUCCGUUAAUUAAUGUGACAAUUGCACACUUGGGAAAGCUUUUCCGCGCAUGGUCUAACCCAGUUGGCAUCAAAUUACGGAUGUCCAAUUGGCAUUUCACAAUAAGGAAAUUAAAAUGACCAAGUUAGUAGGCACGCAUCAUGAUGAAUUAACAAGUUGAAGUAAAAAGAAAACUCACACAGGGAAACUAGAAAUACCACAGUAAACAAAGCUUCAUCAAAGAUGAUACCUUUUGCUUGAUUCUAUAAAUUGAAUCAGGAUCCUUAUCCUUUUUAUGAAUGAUUUCAUAUGAAACAAUGAUAACAUCUUUCAAUGGACGAGGAGUCUCUUCAACCUUCCCGGCAAGAAACAUACACACUGUAGCUACGGUCUGCAAAGUAAUUUAAACGAAAACAGGCACUGUCAUUAUUUGACAAAUUUAGUACUUUUUAAUACAAAAGUAAAGAAAUUUCCAAUUUUAAUGCUCAAAAUUUAUGUCAUUUUAUUAUUUUCCCGCUCCAGUUCUUUUCAACCAUUACAUUUUAUGCAUGCUUGAUGAGUUACCCACAUGAAGCACGUCUAUGACAGAUGGAACUGAAACACACCUCUCAAUCGCUUGGUAGAAGCCACACAAAACCAAACCAACCUUUCUCUCUAGCAUAUAGCAAGAAUGGAAGAGAGAAUCACAGAGCUAUCCUUUUUUGUCGCUCUUGGAAAGGAGGUUUGACAUAAAUUUAGUAAAAUUCCUUCAACUUAUAGGAAAUUUAAAUGCAUAGUGCCUUCCGGAAUUAAUUGUAAGGAGCGUAGAAGCUAAUUAAAUGUUCACUAGCUAUUAGUAUACUGAACUAGAAACUCUUUGGCCAACUCAGAAAUAGUGAAAAAGGUGAGAUACCUCAAUGUCUAAAACUACGGUGGUGUAACCAAUUUUCGGAUAGCAACUGAUGCGCUUAAUCAGGUGUAGGCAUGUCUGGUUUGCAUUGGUUUGAGUUCAAUUUCAACUAAACCAAAUUCAAUGGUUUAGCGUCUGACUAAAGCCAUCCAAAGAGAUAAAAAUUUGAAACUGAUCCAAUCAAAACAGACACUACUCUGUUUGGAUUAGUUUGGGGCUCAAAAGAAAGCCCAAAUUAAGAUAUAUUGAUCAGGGUGUUUAUUACAUCAAACAUUUUUAAUAAAAGUUUAAAGUAGAAAGAACAAAAAUUAAAGAAAUGGUGUCAAACAAGCAGGUCUAGGUUUGGGUUUCUUGAGAUCGAAAAGGCAAAGGAGAAAAACAAUCUCAUAUUGUAGCGAAUUAGGUAUGGAUCUCCAGAAACCCAAAUGUAGAACGUCACACCACCCACCCCCGACGAAAUAAAUAAAUAAUAAUAAUAAUCUCAGGGUAAGUUGGAAAAAUUAUCAUGGGUAAGUCUCAGUCAACAGUGGCUGCUGAGAGGGGCAAAAAUCCCUGAUUUACAUCAGAGGGGAAAAAAAGUGAGUUGAAAAGAUUAAUUAAAAAAAAAAAACACAGGCACACACUCAUUUUGAGUCAGUCUUGGUUGUUGGUGUUGUUGACAGUGGAGAGCGUGAAUCAAGACAUGCAAUUUCUGGUAGACGAUAGGCUCAAGAUAUUGGUGUUGCGAUGAAGUUAGAAUGUAAAACAUAUACUAAAAGAACUAAACUUAUAUAUUUGGACAUGUAAUUUGUUGGGCUUUGAUAAUGUGCAGGCAACUGUACCAAACAUAUGCUCAAAGAACAGCACUGCUAUCAUUUAAAAUUUUAAAGAAUUCAGUGUAAGAGAUCAGUUUGAAUUACACUCAAAACUGAAAGCAAACACCAGUUUGAUAAAAGCCAAAUGGAUAAUGAACCAUUAUAGAGCCAAACUGAACCAAUGAAUUAGUUUGGAUUGGUUCGGCUACCUUUGCCCAGCCCUACUCUUAAUAACGCAAUUCUGAAUUCCUGAUAUAAAGUGAAACAUUCCAAAAUUCUUAAAAUUCACUCAAGUAUGUCCUCCCACCUUAAAAUAAUACCAUAUAACCUCUCCAAUUAUGGUAACUGCUGUGGAUACCAAAUGCACAGCUAACAUCUGCACUUGUUAUUAAGCAAAAACUUCACCAUCCUGAAUAUUCAGGUGGAUCAACCCAAAUCACAUAUCUGAAAGGCCCAAUAUUCAUGAAGGAAAACAAUUUUAUCAUUUCCUAGGUAGAAUAAAGGAAUACAACAGUUAUGGGGUAGUUUUUCCAACUGUUGGACGACAUCAAUAUUUCAGUAUUAAGCCAUUAGCAAUAUUGAAAAGGUAUACAAAGUGAGUAUGUUGUAAUAAAACAAAAUACAAAAAGCAAGUUUGGAGCAACUUCCACAUUACAGAGCACCCUAAAACCAAAAACAGCUCUGGCGUCUUUAUUCUAGAUCAUAUCAGGAUCUGAAAUUACAUUACAUGAUGCUACUAAUAACACUACAGAUGUGAUCAGAAAUUUUUUUAACAGAUUACAUUAAAUAUUCAACCAUAAAUGCUGCCAGGUGAUAACAAUAUAUUUCUCCAGAAGAAAAGAUAAAUACUCAAAAUGUUGUGGAUAAGCAUAACUCACCCUCCUAUCAUUCUUUGUAUGCGAUUGACGAAGGUAGAACCGGUGACAGAAUAUUAUUGCCGUAGCAAUUGUUAUCUGGGGUCUGCAAUUUAAGGAACUCAAAUUAACUAUCUAGUGAUCAAAAACUGCAAAUUCAAUAGAAAAAAUGGAAGCACAGCUGUGCAAAAAAGCACUAUAAUACAGUACGGGUAGAAGAGCAGCAAUAAGCUCACAAUGCAGUGGGGAAACAACAAUACUCCCAUCCUUACCUUAAGAAUGAUCCUUCUAAGAAACCAAAAUAAGUAUAAAUAUAUUUUUCCAAAGCAAAUACUCUUAAGUUGAGAGCAGGAUGUAGUAAGCAAACUAACAAUAUGCAAAUAAGCCCGAGAAAAGAUUUAAGGGUCAAACCUUCCCUGACGUUCAAACUAAAUCCUCUCAAAUUGUAUCUCAUAGUAUCACAUCAAAGUGUAAUUAUUAUUUUAUCAGAUAAGGAGCAGAAAAAUUAAACACAUCCAACUGAAAAGCAUAGACUCACACUUUAAGUUUCAUGCCCAAGUCUUGCAGAAAUGUACAGUAUGACUUGCGUAGAUAAGUCUCCCUUUUCAAGUCAAUGCCAUCUCGUCUAGAUGGGGAAUCUUCCUCAAGUUCUUUUCUAGAGAAAUACCAACGGCCACCAUCCUUUGGCAUAUCCUGAGAAAACUCAGACGGCUCACCUUUAUAAAUUCCAUGAUGUGAGGAAUCGCCAGGCAGCAAGUUAGCCAUUUGCAUUCUGGCCAACCAGCUCCGUCAAAUACUAAUAUCAAUGGUCUAUCUGGCUGACAGACAGACAGACAGCAUCGCCUUCCUGCCAAUGUACCGCCAAGAUGCAUAAGUGACAAAAGGCUAAAGAUACCAUGCUUUAAAAGAAACUAAUGAUAACAAUUUCAAAGCAUCAAAAUCAAGCAGGAUUUGAACCUUAAGACAUUCGGUACAAAAUCAUUUGCUGCAGUAGAAUAACAACUAUGACCAAUUGCAGUUUAAUCAAUAUAAAGUUGACAUCAUUCAAUAGGGUAGCAAAAAAUAAAAAUAAUAGCAUUUAAAAUCAUAACUUUUAUAUCCAAACAUCAUACUUCACUCCAGCAGAAACACAAAAGUACAUUCUGGAAAAAUGUCAGGCAUUAACAUACAUACUUAUCCAAAAGCUUAGUUUUAUAAUUCACAUAAAUUUGGCUACUUUCCCAAAAACUGCUUCAAUUUUAAAAAUCGAACAGAAAUUCUAACUACACUCGGAAAACUCCAAAAAAUAUGUAGGAAAUUUUCUAGCCAAGUGAAUUAUAUAAAUCAAAGGCCUGAAUUUUAUUCCGAAAAAUUACCUUAAAAAAUUAGCAGAGCGACUCAAUAUUCCAAUAAUUUAAAGCAAUUGAACCUGCAAAAGUACUGAGGGAACCACUGGAAUUAAUUAAAGCGAUUAUAAUGAGAGAGAGAAAGAGAAAGAGAAAGAGAGGGGAUUUUAAAUUUUAGAAUUAGGGUUCAUAGCAUUACCACUGGCACUGAAGAGAGAAAACUUCGCCGUUUUGAUGAUAAUUUAGGAGGCCCGCCUGAAGAGGGGCUGAGUGAGUGAGGUCAGGCCGCACUGCCGCAGGCCUAUGUUUUAUGUAUGAAUGAAGUAUGAAUGAUUGAUCACUUCCUCCCUAGGUCAUUGAAAUAUGCCAACUAUGAUACUUUUGCCUUCAUGCUUUUGUUUCUAUGAUUUUCUUUUUGUUUUUGUUUUUGUUUUUGCUUUUUGACAUAUGGUUGAAUGAUGUAGUGUAUGGAUAAUUCAAUAUAAUUAUCCAACAAAGGUAACAUUAGAAAACUUACCAUUUAAAUUGUAACAUCCAAUAGACUUACCAUGUAAAUUCUGUAAAAUAAAAUAUGUACAUAUAAUAACAUACCUAUAUUUUAUCAAAUAAAUAAAUUAUAAUUACUACAAAACAUCCACAAUUCUGUGAUAAAGGGUUCAAUUCUUCUAAAUUCGAGGCUUGAUUUUAGAAUCGUAAUCUAAUGUUAAAAACAAAACAAAAGGUAUUUAAAAAACCUUUGCAUUAUGGGGUACACCAUACAAAUGAAUUAAUAAAUAAAACAAUAAAAAUCCGUUGUUUAACUGGCAAUAAGUUGCAAGAAAAUAAGACACCUGCCUUCAAAACUUAUAUACAACAAUUGCCACCCCAUUGCCCCCCCAAGUCAUUCAAUCAAAAUUUUCAGUUCCUAGUGAUUCUCUGUCACUUGAUGGAGUAGGCAACAUUAUUACACUCCAAAUACACCAAUUGCAAAGCCUGAGGUGGUGAGGUGACCGUGCAUUGAUAACGUUUCAUGUGUUUGUAGGCAGACCCUUCACUUGAUACCUUCUCAGUGGUUUAAAGCAACUGAAUUGUAGGAUAAAGGGGAUGGCAUAAAGAAACAGCAUAACUUGCUUGAGACAAAGAGACCAGAAUCUAUAUGGCAUAUGCUUAUCCUUCACAUCGUUCAUGUAACCGUCCAACGGACCACAUAUGACAACUCCAUGUUAAAGAUGGUUACUUGCUCUUGACUAUGAAAGUUGCAAAAUGAUUUAUCCAACAGAGCCUUUUGCCAUUCACAUUGAUCUAUACUCUCUACAUUUUCCCAUUUCACUUCACUGGUCUGACACCAACAGUUCUUACACGGAAUCUGUACUGAGGCUGGGACUCUUCCUCGUCAUUGUCGUCAUCAUCUUCGCUGGAGUCGUCUUCAACUCUGUCCCACCUUGCAUAGUCCAGAGUUGAAUGUCCCUUUGGUUUUGGGAUUGCUUGCCAUCCUUUGGAAUCUUGUACAGUUGGUUUCUUGGAAGUAUGGUCUAGAGCAGUUGCUUCAUUUAUAUUGGUUCUUUUAGGCUCAGCUCUCUGUUUUAUUCCUGGUUCGGAAUUACCAUUGAUGCCGGGUGUUUUAGGCGCUUUGACUUCCGGCUCUCCUUUGUUGUCCAUUUUUAUGACUGGAGCAACUGCAUCUUCUUUUUCGUCACUUUUUCCCUCUUCUUCCUCAAUUCCAUAUGGCCCUGCCUGAUUUAUCUCUUCUUCCUCUUCUUCUUCUUCUUCUUCGAACUCGGCUUCGGAUUCAGGUAUUGGAGCAAGUGACUUUCCUUGAGCAAAAGAAAGAAUUAAUUUGUCACUGACAGUAGAAACUUACAUAUACGAUAAUCUCAACUAAAAUAAGUUUUCAUUCCUCUGUACACUGAAAAAUGAAUGAAUAAAUAAAUAACAGCCUCCCAUAAAUUUUCCCAGAUGUUUCUUCUAUCAGCCAUUUUGAUAUUGAGAGAAAAGAUCUUAACAGGAUGGAAAUAUGAGGGUCUACCAAUUGAGUCUUCAAACGAGCUUGAAGGUUUUGAUAAACUUCUGAAGAUGGAUUCAACUCAAUAAGUCUGUUGACAUCAAAGAGAGCCGAGUUGUACUCCUUCAAAGUGACUAGUGUCUGUGCCCGCAGCAUCAGUGCUCCAGUGUGAUUGUAAUCAAGCUCAAGCACCGAGGUACACUCUUCUGCCGCCUGAGAUGCAGGUAACAGUUUCAAUUGACACUGGACAAAUCAAUUUUGGAAGAAAAGGUGUAAAAGCAACUACAUUCUAAAACUACAACCACAAGUAAAAAUACACUUAACCAGCUUCCCGGUGUAAUCCAAAUUCAUGUUUACCACACUGUCAUUUCAUUAGUUACACCAAACUCUUUAGUGCCUUGCGAAAUAAUAAACCAUAAUAGAUGGAGCUCGGAAUGCUCAUAUACACAAUGAGUUCCACGGUUCAUAAUACUUUAGCACCGAGCAGCUCUUUCGAAACCACAUGGAGGCAAGGUGAAGCUCACUAGCUAAACCCACAUGUUUAGUAUCGAUAAACUCUUUCACAAUCAGACUGACUUGUUUUUUGUUUUCAUUUUUAAUUAAUUCUCUGGUUUUAAAAUAUUACAUUUCUCAACAUUCACUUCCCAUAUCUCCCUCCAGCAUAAAUUAUAUGCACUAUUUCAUUGAAUUCGCGUUAUGUUUUCAACGAAAACAUUUCAGUAAAAUCCAACAUAAAAAUGUAAAUUAACAAUUUAAACUAUCUUCAAAUUUGUAUCUAAAAAUCCAUAUCGUCAAAACAAAUUCACAUUUUAUAUGUAUUCAAAUAAUUCACAUUAAUCUGAGUUCAAAUUCAAAAAUUUUCCACUCUAAAUUUCAAAUGAAAUAGUAAAAAGAAUAAUACUGAUAGCGGAAAACAAAAUAUCUUCAAAUUAGCAUCGAAAGAGACGAGAAGAUGAACCUUUUUGAAAUCGUGGAGCUUCAAAUAACAGGCGGCUCUGUUACUAUGCAAAGCGAUCUUCUGCUGUUUAAUUUUGGCCACAGAGAGCGCCUCCGUGUAGAACCCUAACGCCUCCUCGUAACGCCCGUCUCGGUACAGCUGGUGGGCCCUUUCAAUCUUGUUUGCCGGCGCUGCCGGGGACGCCAUCGCAAACAACGAUGGCGAUGACGUUUGAUCGAGAGCCAAUAAAUCUGGACCGUCCAAAUUCGAAAUUCGGAAAUCUUCCGAAUGAAUACUUGCUGUGCUAUUAAAUCUAUAAAUAAUUGAAAAACAAAUAAAUAAAUUUAUUUAUUGAACCAGAGAGAGAGAGAGAGACGAGAGCGGGCGUUUGGCAGGUGGAGCUGUUAUUGAUUUAUAUUAGCGUAGGAGGCGUUGGAAUGAGAUUAGUGUAAGAUUUCAGACAACGAGUUUCCUUUUCGUGAUACAUCAUGUAGUGGCAGUGUGAAGUUUGAAAAAUAUUGGAGAGUUGUUCGAUGUGCCAGGUGGCAUCAUCUGGUUCGAUCCCGCCAACCAGCUUUGCCUCAAUAUCGGUGAGCCGUGUCAUAUCAGAUGCCACCCUUUCCAUUUUACUUUUAUUUUUCUGGUAUAUCAGUUAUUGUAAUAAUUGUUUUAUCAUUAAAAAAAAAUUCAAGAAAAAUCGAAACAGUUCUAAAGCUUUUUCUGCAACACACGCAUAUAUCAUUUUCUAGCGUGGGAAAAAAUCAGAACAAAGUGAAGAUGUUAUUAAAAAAUAAAAAAUAAAGAUUUUAAUAAACUAAAUGAUAUAACAAUUCAAUUUUUAAUGAAUUAAAAUUUAUAUUUUUUUAAUUAUUUUAAAUCGCCCGUUUUAAAAACGUAUCCGAAUUAAAAAAUAUAUAUAGAUGCCUCCACUCGAGAAAGACUCUCGUUCUAUAUAUAAAAAAGCAUAUUAUUUUACAUAUAUGCUUGUAACUGCAAUACUUCCUCCAUAAUUUUGAUAGAUAGAAAAUCUCCUCUUCAAUAAUAACAAACACAUCGCGUGCCACAUAAGAGAUAUUAUAGAUAUUAUACUGUAUUGCAUUUGUGUAGUUAUGGUAUUGCAAAAGUGAAAUCCGUUUUUUUUUUUUUUUUUUGAGGAAUUUAUUUAUAUAAAAAAAAAAAACAAUUCUAGAUUAAAACUCGUGUCCCUUUUUAUUUGAAAGAGAGAUUUUUUUUAUUCAGCAUCAUAAAAAAAAAAAAGGCCUUGAUUAAAUUAGAAAGAUAAUUGAGCAUGUGUUAGAACUUAGAACCCAAAAAAAAUUAUAUAAGUAACUGGUUUAUUAUAUUACCCAAUAAAUGAUGAUAACAACCACAACUUAACUUCAGGUGAGGUCACAGCAGUUUUCAUCAACCCAGGGUUGCAGCAUAAAUUGUUAACUUAAGCUAAAUCCUUCAACUGCAUCCAAGCUCGAAUGAGGUUCCUCCUAGUUUGAAUUGCUGUCCAGCACCGGCAAGGUUUUACAUAAAAUUUCAACUGCUUGAUCAAGCUCCUGCUCUGAUAUGAUCAGUGGUGGUACUAGCCUCACAACAUUCCCUUUACCAGCAGUGAGUACAAGAAGGCCAGAGUCUCGACAUGCAUCAACCACAGGCGUGGCAGAUACGUCGAACUCAAUUCCAAUAAUUAGCCCGAGUCCACGGACAUCUUUCACAUGUGGAUUUCUUGCCAGUUUCUGCUUUAAAGUUUCUUUGAAGUAAUGGCCUUUCUUGGAGACACUGGCCAAGAAAGCAGGAUUGGAGAUUUUAUCUAGAACAGCAAUGGCAGCAUUGCAGACAAGGGGACUGCCGGCAAAAGUGCUUCCAUGGUCACCAUAAUUUAUGGCAGAUGCAACUUUUUCAGUUACUAAUGCAGCUCCAAUAGGAAGGCCUCCGGCAAGAGGUUUGGCAAGUGUCAUUAUAUCUGGGAAGAUACCAUAGUGCUCAUGAGCCCAAAGGUAUCCUGUUCGGCCUAGACCACAUUGAACCUGCACCAGGACAAAAUGCCGACUACAAUGAACCAUAAACUACUAAUAGUUGACUGCAGAAAGCAGUACAAGGCUAAUUAUCUGGCUUUAUAUGUAAUACAAGUGUGGUAAGCAUGCAAAAGUUUUAAAAUCUUCUACAUUCCAAAACAAAACCUUCAGAACUAAAAGCUAUCAGUGGCAAGCAAUUUGAAAUAUGGAAACAAAGAUUAGCAUAAAAAAAAAAUUAGUGACACCUCACAAAUUACUUGUCUUAGUUAUUUGUAGGAUCAGGCAAAAGGAAACUAUGUGAUGUCUUGAAUCUGUUGAACCAUUGGAAAAGAAUGGUAAAGUACUAGCUUCAUUCAAAGAAGUGGAACGAAUGAAUGAUCAGUUGAGUUUUAACACUGCAAACCAAGCAUGAUCAGGGAAAAUACAGUAAUUCAAGUUGAAUUUGCUAGACCAGGGGUAUUUGCUUCUAAAUUUAAUAGACCUGGACAAGAGGAAAAAGUCCUUGAUCAAGGGACUUUGCCUCUCUGUCCAACUAUGGCACCAUACAAAUGGUUUUGUUUAUCCACCAGAUUGAUAAGCUGCCAACUUCUGAUUAUUACCAUAUUGCAGGGUAUUUCAUAAUCAACAUCCUACACAAAAAUGAAUGCACAUGUUGGAGUGUACCUUAUAUAUCAGCACUAUUUCAACUGAUCCAUAUCAAAUCUAAAUGCUUAGAAAAUGUAGUAUGAUCAUAGCACAGAAUAUGCCAGUUGAAGGAAUGGUGAAACUGUUUUGAGAAUAGGACUCAAAUCAUCUCUCACUCUAUGGCCAAAUCAGCCCUAAGGAAAUUAGACUCUAAUAUAUGGCUGGAUGAAUUUCCAGUUGAUAUUUGUUCUCUUCGUGAGUAAUAAAAGGUGUACUUUCUCUUCACAAAAAAAAGGACCAAAUUCCCAAGUUUAAUCACGAAGGUUAAGGGCUUGGUCACAAAAGGGGAUUAGAAAGGCCAUAUCAGUCAAGGUUUACAAUUUUACAGUAUCAGCUACCACUAAUAGGACUCAAUUUGCAAAAACUUAAAACUGGUGAUGGCACAUGUUCAUGUGAAUAAACAAUAGGCACUAACCAGUUAUUGUAAUCUCUGGAAAACAAACAACAAUUUGUGCUUUGAAAAUUUGAUAUAAACCUUAAACUCUAACAUAUAGUCAGUAAAUUUAGAUGUAAUUAUAAAGUGGCAACGGCAUAUUACCUCAUCGAAGACAAGGAGAGCCCCAGCAUCAUCACAAGCAUCACGUAAAAAUUGUAAAAAUUCUUUAGUUGCACUGUAUAUGCCUCCUUCACCCUGGAUGGGUUCCACAAAAACUGCUGCAGUUUUACCAGGCUGAAUCAAUUUUCUGGUGGCUUCUAUAUUUCCAUACUCCACAAAAUUGACUCCAGGCAUGACAGGUUCAAAAGGUGAUCUAUAGUGCUCUUUGCUCGUCAGAGCAAGAGCACCCAUGGUCCUCCCAUGGAAACUAUUGGUGAAAGAUACGAACUCUGUGGCUGGCUCUUUGGAAUCAGGAUUUGAGUGUCUCUGGAACUUUCUGGCAAAUUUAAUAGCAGCCUCAUUUGCUUCCGUUCCAGUAUUGGAGAAAAACACACGAUCAGCAAAAGAACAAGCCACCAAACGCUUAGCAAGCUCUAUCUACAAGAAACAACAUAACCAAUCUUUAGACGAGAAAAUACCCACUAAACCAAUUUAACAAAACCCAUUAGUGUUAAGGUUAAAUAUACAGUAAGCUAGAUACACAACAUGAGAAUCAUAAAACUUAUUUCUGCAAUACUACUGCUUCACGCAACUGCCAAUUGCCAUCAAUUUCAAUAAGCAUGACCUCUUAGCUCCUAAUGUUCCCAUUUCUACAGGUUUCCAUUUACAAGUAAAAAGGGCAAAAGCAUUAUGACAAUGUUGAGAUAUAUUUCUCCUAGAUACUCAAUACCUAACAUAUCCAUCAACAAUCACCCCUCGAAAAAUUCCAUAAUACAUCAAAAUUUACAUGAAUGCAAAACUUAUCAGGUGCCAACUUCCACAUUUCGAUAAAAAUCCGGACAAACAACUCUCUAUUCAAAGAGUUGCUCAAAAACAACUCUUUAUAGAAAGAGUCCUAGCAAAUUUAUGUCUUUCAGCAAUUACUUGGAACUCAAUGUCAUAUUAAACUUCAAUCAAUUCUCACAAUGCUUCCGCAUCCUCUAUAAAUAAAUUAAUGGAAAGCAUAAUGAAGAAAAGUAAUGAACCUGAGGAAUGGAAUAAUACAUAUUGCUAACAUGAGUCAACACAUUAGCUUGAUCAACAACAGCCUUGAUCCAAUCAGCAUCCCCAUGUCCAAGCGCAUUCACAGCAAUCCCCGAGCUCAAAUCCAAAUACUCUCGCCCUUCAGCAUCGUACAAUUUACAUCCUUUACCACUCGCCAGCACAACUGGUGCCCUAUUGUACGUCCCCACGAGUAACUUCUUCUCCGCCUCCAUCACCUCCUUGUUGUUCCUCCCCAACCCCCCCGCGCUCCCACGCGCCGCAUCGUUCACUUCCACGUUCACACUUGCCGCCGCCACCAUCGGUCGCCGUUUUACGCCGUUGAAUUUGAUCUGGCGGCGGAGAUUGCCCGAUUGUGAGAGUGGAACUUGGAGUGGUGCUUGAAACGUCGAGCUCAUUGCGUUCUGCAUGGUUAUGUGAGGCUGUUUGUUUCCCGGGAAAAAGCGGGAGAAGAAAAGAAAUUAGGAGGAAAAUUACCGAAAAAUUGAAAUUAAAAAAUGUGGAAUUUAAUUAUUUGUUUGCCUGAAAAUUUGUUAUGAUUCUGUUCUGUGUUAGCGUAAGGUUUCAGCGGCGGCUGGUGUCGUAAUAUUUUCUGACGUGGAGAAACGUGUAAGAAAAGGGAAAUGUUAGUUGCCCGGUCAAACCCGAAAGUAAAUCAAAACGACGGCGUUUGAUUUUUUUUUUUUCACUUCUCCAUAAAACGUACCGUUUGAUCUAGGCAAAAGCAAACCCAAACGUCUUCCUCUUCUCUUCGUUUCACCAAGGAAUGACAUAACCAAAUCCUCCUCUCUUAUUCGUUUUGUUCAUUUUGUUUGUCAAAAACAGUAUAUUCUCUUUCCUUCCUCGAUCGAGAUCCACCACAAUCCGCCAUUUGCGAUUCAUUCGCUGAAAUUUCCUAAGUCAAACGGCGACUCACAAUAUUAAUACUCGGAUUAAAUCAUCCUCAUGUAUAGGAUCGAUAACUCCCCACCCCUGUGAGAGUGGAAUUCAAAUUCAAGAUCUCUUAUUCCCAAAUAUAUAUAAUAUAUUCUCAAUAUAAUUGUCUCAUUAAAUCCUCUGUGUGUAUCUUGCAGAUUGUAAGUUGAUAAAGCAGCUGUUUUUUUGCUUUUUACUUGGGUCAAGCGAAAAAAAUAAUCAGCUGUUUCUCUUCGACAAAAAUAAUUAGUAUACGAUUAGCAUGUAAAUUGGAUUGGAUUGGAUUAAAUAUUAAAAUUAGAUUAAAUUAGAUUAGGUUAAAUUAUAUAGUGAUGACUUGUGUUUGGUAUAGAAUCAGAUUGGAUUAUGUUAAAUUAAAUUUAAAUGAAGUUAAAUAGUAUUUAAGUUAAUAUUUUAAUUUUAAUUUAAAUUAUUUAUAGAUAUUUAAUAAGAAAUAUCAUAAUUAAUUAAAAAUAAAUGUAACUAAAAUUAUAUAUAUAUAUAUAUAUCUGUGUGUGUGUGUGUGUAUUCAAUUAUUGGGCAGUUAUAAUUAUAUUAAAGAAAUAUAAAUUAUUUAAAUUAUAGGUAGUUUCAUAUGACCAUAUGAGAUAUAUCAUUUCAUUAAAUAAAAUAAAAUAAAUCUAUUCAAAUAGUAAACUGAUUAAUAAAUUUUAAGUAAAUCAUGAAUAAAGAAAUAAAUUACUAAUAAAUUACUUAAUAAAUAACAAUAAGUAAAUAAAUAAUUUUUAAAGUUAUAAAUAAAAAUAGUGUAAUAAAUUAUAGAAGACACCAUAAAUAGACAAACAUUUUUCUUCUCAUUGUGAAAUCCUAGUUAAAUCCACACGAAAAUUGGGACUAUUAAUCUCAUGAAUUUAGGAUUAAAAUUUGAAUUUAGUCCAAUCCGAGUGAGCAUGCCAAAUAUGGGAUUAAUACUUUGUCCCAAAAAUUAGUCCAAUUCUACACUUAAUCGUAACUCCCAAAUAUAGCCUAAGAGUCUUUUCUUUUUCAAUAAGGUUAUAUACUCAUUACACUAGAUGGAAAAAAAAAAUUUCAAUAAAAAAUAAAAGAAAAUUUUGCUAUAAUAAAUUUUUUUUUUUUUGUCUCUUAUAAAUGUUGAACUAAUUGUUGAAGUAACUUUUGUACAUACGACACUAUUCUUUGCUUUUAACAAAUGUUAGAAAAAUUGUAUAAUUGAGUAAUACUUUGGGGGCUUAUUUUCUCUUUAUACAAAUUACAAAUAUUUCAGUAAUUUUAUAAAGGAUCAGACCACGAUAACUCAAGGCUACCGUACCCUGUAAAUUGGACACACUCAAAUUUUUAGAUUUUGUUGAUUUGAUUAUCUAAAUUGUAAAUACAGUACCCUAAAAAUAUCAUAGUCACGACCUUUUAUAAAUUGAGUAUUCAUUAAAAAAAAAAACAAUAGUACAUUUUAUUUUUUUUGAAAUGUUGUAUUAAGAAAAACAAAAACCUCUCUCUCAUUCAUCAUAAGAAGAGUUUUUAAACUUGAAACAUGUAUUACUCGUUGAACCAACUAAUAACACUCAUAAAGAUAAUUAUAUAUUUGGUAUAAAGAUAUCUUAAGAGAAAGGGUAUUGUAUAUUUGUAUUUGUAUGAAUUGAAUGUAAUAUAAAACUCUAUCUUCCUAAGGGGAGUUCAAAUCUUGAACAUCUUGUACCAUUUUAAGAAAAAUUUUAAUUGUUCAACUGACACCCGCUAUUAAUACAACAGAUAAUUAUUAGAAUUUUUAAGGUACACACGCAAAAACUAACCUUAAUCUCUAAAAAUUAUUCAAACAACGACAUUCACAUUAUAGAUUGUCCUUUAGUUAGCAAUAAACUAUUAUUAUUUUUCAGAGUUUUUUUUUUUUAAUCGUAAUUUGAAUAUUUUCAACUGCAAAUUUUAAGUUUGAUUCUCUUGACAAAAUAUAAUUGCUGAUGAAUUGACAGGAAAAAGCUAUAUAAGUAAGAAAAUUGCAAGCAAAUUAAGGGAAGUUAAUAAAAACGGAUCCAUAUAUAAGUAACGUUUUAUUUAUCUCUUAUGAUGAUCUUAAAUUAUUGAUUUGUUACAUAUAUAUUUAAAAUGAAACUAAAUCAAGUCGCUAAUCGAUCAAUGAUCGCCAGUGCUAUUCCAGUAAGUUCUUCGUAAACCCUAAUCUGGUAAAAGGCAUCAUACACACCUUGCUUUUCACUGUAAGGCUCCAAACUUGGCUCACACCUUUGGACAAACUCAUCACUUAAAGCCAAGAUCACAAAAUGAUUAGCAUUAUCAUAAUCACCACCCUUCAGCUUAGCAUCUGCUUUAGAUAGAGUCUUUUUGGCCUGCGAAUAACCCUUGCUGCAAUUUUCACAAGCCGCCACAAGUUUUUUAUCAGAGGAGUACGUUGAAGCCAAAGAUGACAUGUUUUUUACCAAAGCUUCAGCGUGGUUGCUCAGGCAUUUUAUGGCUAUGGCGGCAAUAUCGGUUGACUUAUCGGCUUUUUCGCCAGCGGGGUCGGAUUUUACGCACUGAACGCAUAAUGUUGGUACUUCUGUGUCCCGACACAUUUGCUCGAUGAAUCUGUCGUCUGCUUCAACAAGACUGUGGUGAGUUUGAAGUAGAAGAAUGAAGAGAAGAAGGAAAUGAUGGAGACUGGGAGCAAUUGCCAUGUCUAAAAUUUUAAUUUUGAACCGUGAAUUGAAAUUAAAGGCCUUCAGACUUUAUUAGCUAGUAGUGUAAUAUAUAAUAGGGAAAUUAUCAUUUUACUACUAAAGUUUUACUGAUAUAUUAUAUCAGCACCAAGGUUUGCUGAAAAGUGUAUUUUACUGUCAAAGUUUUGCGCCAUUAUCAAUUCACUACCAUUCCGUUAAGAAAAAGUUAAUGUUUAAUGGAAAUUGAAUUAAAAGUCGAUUUUACCCCCAAGAAUUUGGUAGUAAAAUGAUAAUUUCCCUAAAAAUUUGGUAGUAAAAUGAUAAUUUAUCUAUCAAAUUAGCAGACAAUUUUACUCUUAUAGUUAGAAAUAUCUUUGAUGCCCUUAUGACAUCAGCAAAUUUUUAACGUUGUUAACGGAAUAGUAGUGAAUUGAUAACGACGCAAAACUUGAGUAGUAAAAUACACUUUUCGAUAAACCUUAAUACUGAUAUGAUAUGUCAGUAAAACUUAAAUAAUAAAAUGAUAAUAUCCCCAUAUAAUAAAGAAGAGUCAUUACGAAUUUUAUGUAGGCCCACAAGUUGUGGGUCCACAUUUUUUAGUGCAAUAGUUACCAUAAAAGAUUUUGUAGGCCCCAUAUGUGUAUGUGGCCUCAGAAGUAAUGUUACGUAACUUGUGCAUAUAAAAAUCUUAUUGCAAUAAAUAUAAGCCCUACAAGUUAAUGGUUUGAAAGGAUAAGUUAAUUAGUCUCUAAAGUUAAGUAUUAAUUAUUUAGUAAUUGGUUUUAUUUUAAAAAUGACCCAGAAUAUUCUAUUUGAAGGAUCGAUGUUUCAGAUAUUCUGUGGCUCAUCUAUUUAUAAAUUAAAAUUGGAUGUUCAAUUAAAGAGGAUUACUCUUAUAGAAAUGCAUUAAUGAGAAUUGAGAAGUUCAACUGAGUACGUCAAAAUCUUAGCCUAGGAAAUAAAAUUGGACGAAAAGGAGAUUUGUAAUUAUCACGAAGAAAAUACUCAGAAGUUAAACGUCAACAUUUUAAGCAUUAAUUCCAGAGGAAAAAGAUAACUUGCCGACAAACUCCCACACACAGACACAGAAAUGUUUCAAUUCAGAAUCUUCAAUAUAUUAAUGUAAUGCCUGUAAAAACUAUUUAGUCAAAUUAACACUAUAUAUAUAGAGAGUUUGAUUCUCUAUACAGGAGAGCUGAUAUUAUGAGCGCCAUCGCGAAUCAAAAUUCUUCUUUAUAUAAGGAAUCGCAUGAAAUAAAUUGACCAAUAACAAACUAAGUGCAUAUGUAAUGAAUAAAUUGAGGAAAAUACAAAGAGGUGCAUACUUAAAAGAAUUAACUGGGCAAAGCCACAAGUGGUUGGCCUUAUCAAAGUUACCAUGUAUUACAUUUUUACUAUAAUUGAUAAUGAAGUAUUCUCUCCUUUAUUGAGGAAAAAAAAUCCACUAACGAGCAUGAUUAAUAAAUUGACAAUCAAUCAAGUAAAUUAGUUUGUAGAGUAUGUAAACUAAUUGAAGGCUAUAUAUUGAUUCUUAUAUAUUCAUUAGAAUAAUUAGAAUACAAAUAUUUCGUAUAAAUUCUAUUGUGUACAAAUUGUCAUAACAUAAAAAUAUUGUUUCGAUGAGAAAUUCAACACAAAAGUGUUGAAAGUCUUGAUGUUAUUAUAUAUAUUGAAGUCCUGAGUACUGUCUCCCAUGUCAAAAAUAAUAAGCAGUCUAAAGCUUCAAUUUAAAAAAAUCUUAAAAGGAAACCCUAAGAGCUAAUAACGUGCUAUUAUUUGGUGGUCAGCUGAUACAUUUUGCCAACUUAGGAUGGACAAUUGAUACACCUUCAAAGUGUUGUAGUAUUUUUGAUAAUAGAGUAAACUAAGGGUAUAUAAAUGAUAAUUUUCCUUUAAAAAAAUCUUAAAAGGAAACCCUAAGAGCUAACAACGUGCAGAAUGGAACGUGAAUGUUGAUUAAAUAAGGAAAAAAUUGCACAAUUAAUAAAUAUUUCUUUAAGGUUAAUUAUUGACCGAGGUAGUUAGGUAACAGUGAAAAUAAAAACUAACAAUAAUUUACUAGCUGAUCAUAAUCACAAUUCACGACAACAUGUAUCCAAUUAAUUAAUAGCUCUUCAAUUUCAGUAACUAAAAAUAUCAGAAAUUAUCUAAGUCUUCUAAUGAUAUGCCAAGACUGAAAUCUUCUAAGUCAACACCUUCGUCAUUCGCAGUUGAUGAAUCGAAGAGUAUUUUCUCCAAGUCUUGCACAUUGAACCAUUCACUAGUAUUAUUUGAUGGCGGCGGCUGAACAAGACCACUCAUGCUAUUUCUCACAGGCCCGUCAUUAUCACCGCUCAUCAGCUCUUCCCUUUUCGGUUGUUUCUUCUUAAUUCGGCAGAUAACAUAAUCACCGAUAUUGUUAAUCCUUGCGUUGCUUAUCGAGAUACCAUCAAGGCGAUAUUCAUGCAUCACCCAUGUUCCCUUUAUCACGCCACCACGGCUCCCUUCUUUUGGAACGUACGUGAAGUUCCGGCGAGAACCAAUGUGUUGCUUCUUGAUGAUCUUGUCACCAGUCUUGUUAUAGCGGUGACGGUAAAUUCUAGUAUUCUUCUGUGAUCGCCAAGUGCCACAGUUGGUCUCCCUUUCCACUUGAACACCGUUUUCGGUUUUCUUCUUCAAUGUGGUGAAAAAAUAGAGUGCAUUUUCCCCUGUCCGUUCAAAGAUUCGAAUCCAUACAUUUUCAUCGCGGUAGACAUCAAUAUUGUCAAUUACAGCCGAGGUUGAAACAGGCCGACCAUGGACCUUGUUGUAGAGGUAAUGCGCCACAAUCUCUUCAUCAGUUGGCGCAAAUCUAUAACCAGGAGGUAGUGCUGGUAGUUGGUGUCUUUCCAUUAAACCCUAGCUAAAAAGCAAUCAACUAAGAGUAGUCUAGACCGAUUGCUUUAAUGUGUUCGUAGGCUUAUCAAAUUAAAAAUCAUAAUUACGAAGAUCAUGAAUUGUAUUUAUAGGCAACGUACGGUUUCCAUAUUCAAUAUGGAAAGGCUUUAAUUUAAUUAAUUUGCUUAAUGUAUGAGGAACAAACAAUCCCUUAAGUUUCCGCGUGUGUAAGGAAUUACAUUGUUUGUUGAACGAAAUAAACACAGAGACGGCAAAAACUUAAUGUCUAUGUGUACAUGAAACUAAUGUAGAGACGAAAAUUUGAUUAAGUUUUACUUGUAUUAAUUUUAUGUGACAUCAUAAUAAGGGUACUUGCACUUCAAGUCUUGUAGGAAUUUUACUAGAGAGUAAAAGGGUUAUCUAUUAUCUAUCAAUAAUUUUUCAUUCAUAUACAUAUGGUUCUUCACUCUCUCUUUUCCGUUGGAUUAUCAUAAAAAGCUCGUGCAAUAAAAUCAUAUUAUCACAUCAUCAAGAGCAUUAAGUUUCUAUUAAUUUAUCGAACCUCUGUUAAAUGUGUAUGAUUAAUUAGUUAACUUUGUUGAACUACUUACCAUAUGAUGUGGUGAGGUUAGCUAUAUAUUAUACGCUGAAAGCCCCGGCCCAAAUAAAAUAAAACAAAAGCUUAAACCUAAAGUGAGUCAUUUUUAAAAAUUUACAAUUAGCCCCCUCAGGUUCGACGUUUUUUUAUGCUUUUGCUCCCUAAGGUUCGUUGUUUCUACAUCACGACCUCCACUAAACCAGAAUUCUGCUUCCGCGGAGGCGGGAUGUGAGGAUAAUGAUGAUCACUUGGUUCUCAGAAAUCGGAAUGACACGAAACUGUGCCUUUAAUGUUAAUGUUAACUAAUUAUCUGCAGACGCCUGUCUGGUUUUAGAAAAACUAAUUAAGCAUUAAUAAAAUCCACUGCCUUCACGUCUCAAUGAUUGAUAUGGUCGAAUACGAUACGGUGUUAAUCAUCAAAAAUUAAAGACGUGGCUUCUUUACAAUUGUUGGGUGUUAAAAAAGAAAUUAUAUUCCAACUCUCAACUGCCAAUGUUCCGAACCUCCUUUUUAAUGGUAAUUGAAGCAUUUAUGAUGCUUUCAAUGUCCAACCGGGUUGGACAGAAUCACAUCCCAUCACUCAUUUAGACUGAUGUGUCCUCCUCUCCUUCUCUCAACACAAAAAUAAUUGGUGCAUGUGAUGCAUUUUGUCAUUUAUUUCUGUGAAUUCAAAAAGAGAAAACUUAUUCAGGACAGUCACGGCCACAUGAAUGAUUGUAAGUGCCAACUAAUUCAGUUGAUAAACUUUUAUGUAUAAAAGAAAAAGAAAAAAUCGACUGAGUUCGAACCCCAUUUACAUGAAUGAAGAGGUAAUUAAAAAAAAAACUGUCAUUAAACUAUGACUGAACAAAAUAUACAAGGAUUACUCUAUCAUGGUGUAAAUGUUAAUGAAAUGUAUAGAAAGUGAUCGCGAGAAGCAUUGCGCCGGACAAUGCAGCAUUUCAGAUGCGGCCUAACCUCACGUAUAACAUACGUUGAAUAUAAAAAAAAAAACACUACGGUCAUGGUAACAAGCUCAUGAUAACAAUCCAAAGCACAUGAUUUUAUGGUGCAAUUAUCUAAAAUGACUUCAGUCACCAGUAUGAAUUUGUGCACGUUUUCCCGCUCAAGCCAACCCAAUUAACGUAGCUAUAUAAUAGCUCAACAAGAAAGCAUGACAGUUCGACUACAAGUUGAAGCGUUCAAUCAAAUAUAGAAAGCUCAAACUCUCGGGAGUUAGAUGAAAGGCUUGCCCUACUAAAGGAAGUGACUAAACUUACUGCCAACGAAUGAAAGCUCUGUCACCUCAUUUUCUCUUAUUAGAUUAGCACCAUACAUAACUAACUACAAUAUACAAUAAAUUUUGUGCACAGAAAAAACAUCACCAUCCUUAAAUACAUCGGUCCAUCUUUAAUUUUUUUUUUUUUAAAAGGACAGAAAUGACUUGACCCACAUGAUUUGUUGCAUCAAUCAAAUUAAUAUGUAAAUUACGUACACAAUUUUGGCUCUGCUAGAAAUACAGAUAUAUAACUGCACUCCUUGCUCAGGUUUUUCCCAUUACUCUCUCCGAAUACCCUCUCCUUUUUCUACAAGAAAAUUAAACCUGAUCAUGUAUUACUUGUCUUUGGUGGCCUAUUAUGUCUUUUUUAAUGCAUGGAAAGUUCUUUAUUUUCUCUCUCUACUAGUUUUGGCUUCAUUUCACAUGUUUGUGCUGUCAAGAAGAAUGGGAAAUUUUCAAGAAUUAGCAGCUUUUGCUUGUGAGGAAAAGAUCUGGAAUAAUUUGUUCUGCCUGCAGUUUGAAGUGAACCCAGCAGCUGCAAAUACUUCAUUUUAUGAGGUUCCGCUGCUUGUUUCAAGGUUUAUUUGACGAUCCUUUUUGCUUUUUGCUUCAUCUAAUUUUCUUCUCCUAGACUUUUUUUUGGUAAAAGAAAAAGAAAAAGAAAGAGAAGACAAAUUGUGUAAUGAUGACAUAUAUGAGUGAAGUGAAGCAAAAGCUUAGUUCAUUGAUUCUCCUUAUUGGUUCAUGCAGUUCUCUGUGUGUGUGUGUGUGUGUGUAUACAUUCGACAAAUUAAUCGCAAAUUGAGAUGGUCAUAGUAUUCCAAGCAGCUUUUUUUUUUCUUUUAUUGGUGAUGACAUGAAAAUUAAAUAUUUUUACAUCUGUUGAAAUAGUUUUUGGAUAAGUAUGUAAACUUUCAUCAGCUCUAUAAAAAAAUCUUGGAUUCGCAUUGCCAUGCGGCAAAUAUAUAUCUUGUGAUGGUGUAACGCUUGUAGUCAUUUUGCAUUGUCAGCAGGAAGUAGAUUUCUUUCAAAGUUAUGGCCAUUAUCAUUUUCUCAUAAUUGAACGAACAGUAUAAUCCUUCGUAAUCAACCAAUUAACUCUUUGACUCUUUGGCUUUGGCUCCUUCAUGAAUGUGGAUGCUAUCCCAACUCUCAACUACCAAUCUCCAAUUCUCUUUUAUUAAAUAAAAUUGUACACAUGCUCCUAUAUUUUAUAUAUAUAUAUAUAUGUGUGUGUGUGUGUGUGUGGGCACCCUCAUUUUUUU
This 50414-nucleotide long non-coding RNA is filed under the name Citrus sinensis (sweet orange). RNAcentral describes it as "long non-coding RNA (CSIN_LNC001715)". The record is from RNAcentral. Lineage: Eukaryota; Viridiplantae; Streptophyta; Magnoliopsida; Sapindales; Rutaceae.